UUGCUUAAAAAACAACAACAAUUGGUUCCUCUGUUCUGAAGAAAUGAUCACAGUCAAAUUUCUGAUAAAUACUUUAUUGAAUCUUUUGCAUGAACUAGACAGAUCCAUGGUGCACAUGUAUCUUAGCCUAUCUUACACGCACCGAUUUAUUAGCACGACCCAUCCAUUGUUUCUACGUCGUUUAAUUAGAGCAGCAGCAAGAACCACCAUUGUCUGGUUUACAGUGGCUUUUUUUGAAUUCGAAAAAUGAGCAGUGGUUCCUGCACGCCUCUUCGGAUUCAUGGCCUUUCUCACAGCUUGCAAAACGCACACACAAGUCCAAGGGGAUUGGUUUUGUUGAACCUGUGCACGAGAAAGUAUAGCAGCGUCAGCAUACAUAAAUUACGUAAGUUACAUGGGUUAGGCUGAAUUACACAUGCAAAGGCGUGCGCACGCUAAAAAUGAAUAUGAAAAUAUAUAGACAAACGACUGUAGUACCUGCAUGGCAUGAUAAUAGGGUGGUAGACAUCAUCACAAGAGCUACCAAGAGUAGGGCUCUUGUGUUGUUCUUGAUAAGUUCCAUGAGGAAUGGUUUCUUGUUUCUUUAUUUCUACGUAUGUGCAAGUAUCCUUGUAGUUUGCACUUGUCAACCUAUGCCUUUUGUGUUGGUGUUUAUAUAAGCAUGACCAGACCUGGGAGGAUCAGUUCUUGCCCUUCUACUUUUGGCUGGAGUUGAUUACUACUUAUAAAACUGAAUAGAUAUAUACCAAAGUAUUUUGUGUUAAACAAGGAUAUAUACCAAAGUAUAUCUUGUGCAUAAGUUGUUAUUAAUUGGUUCUUAAGUUCUGAUAUUUGAAAUUAUUUGGUGCUUUAAAAUGACAUACAUAUCACACAGUAAAAGUUAUCUUUGACAUAGCUUGUUAUCUUCUUAAAAAUGGUGGAUUAUUAUUUGCUCUGAAUAUUGGCGAAUGUAAUUACUUGAUGUUAAGUUCUCUUAAAGUAUAUGAUCUAGAAUCUCCUUUUACUGAUAGGAUCUCAAAAAAAAAUUAGUAUUGAUCAUGAUAUUUGAAAUAUUUGACAUGACAAAGAAAAUAUUUUUUUUUUGAGGCUAAGUGAUAAUAUCAAUAGGAUGUUAUUCGAAUAAGAACAACUAAUUAUUAAUCUAUGUGGAGCGUGCUAGGUCUAAUGCCAAAGCAGACCAAGCACUCCGCAUGUUAAGAUAUGUCUGCAACGCUCGUGGAUACACUUUAUCGGUGUGUAGCACCCCAAUUUAGUUUCGAGCAAUUCAGUAAAUUCAAUACUGCAACCAAUGCACAUGCCUGACUAGUGUUUAUUUUUAGGCUACAAGAUACCGCAACACGGGGAGAAAAGCAGCAACACUACUUGGGUGUGGCCUAUAAGGUUAGAUGCCUCUAACCAAACCGGUGGAUUGAAUGUCUAUAGAGCUCUAGUGCAUAUGUCGACAUGGCACAAAUCAUCCUUCAUCAGAUUAACCCCUAUAGAAAUCUAUAUAUAGGCAUGAACAUUCUCAAGAAAAUCACUGUCAGAUAUAUAGAAUACAUACAAAUGAAUUUGUACCAAAGUGCUGAUACAAUGUAUUGUGAUGUACAAUAUGAUGACAACAAUACAUAUGUUCUUAUUACAACAUCAAAAAUGGACAUAAAUUAUAUUGACCACUCAGGAGACUGAGAGACUAUUCAUAGUCUCCAAACAUGUCGGUUGAGGCAUAUUCAACCAUCACGUUCUUCGUGCCCAUAUGGUCCCCUCACCUUUGAUGAUGUCAGGUUGAUGGUUGGAGUGGGCUUCAAACCUUUGCCCUUAAGGCCCUUUGUAUCGCAGGGAUUGCUAAUACAGAAUAACCAGAUGCUGAGAUCUAGAUCGAUAUAAUGCCUUAUGAUGCAUAAGGUAACAUAUUUAUCCUGUUAGCGGUGUGACUCCAAGCAUAGGUGAAUCCGACAGGUCUUGGAUUGCACAUAUUAUCCCACGUGACACAAGAGCGAUCAUGAUGUCCAUGGCCCAGGUAGGGCUAUGGUGGCCAUUGAGGGCGAAUGCCUCAAAUUCUCUAGCCAUCGGUUACCAGAGAUAAUUAAUUUAUGAUCAGUAAAUUAACGACCAUCAUGGUUAGUGUUCUAAUGAAUUUUGCAAAAUUAAUGGAUAUUUCAAGAACUUAGGUUGAAAUCAUUAGUGUGAAUCUCAAAUUGCUAAGUAUGACAUCUUGAAGAUAGUCUUCAAAAUGGAUUAGAUCUCGCAGCACCAAGGAGUAUAAUCUGAUGAAAUCAGUAGAUACUCACUCGUAAUGUCUUAUGUCACGACAUAGUAAAAUAUGUGGGAGAGCACUUAAUUUGUAAAGUAAUCAUAAUGUCAAGAUGACAAAAUGUUGGCUUUAACAGUAGUGGUGAUAAUUUGCAAAGCAGUAAAUCUACACACUACCUUGUGACCUCAAUACAUCAAUUUGAAGAAAUCACUAAAAAAUUUGCAUUCAUAUUUGCAAGAAAUUAACAAUCUCAAUUGCAAAUAGACGUAAUUAAUCUCGACACGUGACAAGCGUGAAAAUAUAUUACAUCAACUUAGGUUCUGGAAUACAUUGGUACUCAACAGAAAACAGUACUGAAAUAUAACAUGUAAAAACAUGAAUGAAAUCACUUCUAGAACUACUGCUAGGUGAGAUAUCUGCUAAUAUGUUAAAUCAAUGGAGCAAAUAGCAAGUAAAGCAAGCGUUGCUGGCUGCCUAAAGUCCCAGCCACAAGCAAAUUGGCCACGUAAAAGGCAGCCUAGCCUGGUCAACCCGAGCAGACAAGGGAGAGCGACCAGAGGAAAAAUCGCCCAGGAGCUUUCUAUCCCAAAUCCGGACCGAGACAGGCGGAGACCCCAGCGCUGGCCGACCGGCCGCAUCACCGACGGCGAGAAGAGAUCCCGCCGCGCUCGUCCUCGAAUGAGUCACCAGGGAGGACUCGCGAGCCCGAGCGCCUCGGCACGGCCGGAGCGGCUGCUCGACGGUGGGCUCACCAGCGGGACGCCGAGUGGCAAGGGAGCCGCGUCCCGUGGAGGACGGCAUGCACGGGUAUCCCGGCAGCAAGAAGGCGAGCGCGUGGCUGGCGACGACCUCGACGACCGCGGGGGUCGGAGAUGGCAGCGGCGCAGCCUCGUGCGUCUGCGAGCACCGCGUCGGGAGGUGCGAGUCAGACCGCACCGACUGUCGCUGUCGUUCCUUGACUGUAUGGCGCGGUUCCGUCGUACGCCAGUGCCAGGAGCCGGUGAAAGAAGAUAAGGAGGGCGCGUGGCAAGAUACGGCACCGUGGCUGAUGCUAGUGCUUUCUACAGAGUGAAAAAAACAUGGUGAAGUACCUUUUUUCUUCUCAUAUGGCAGUUUGUUGGUUGCUAAAAAAAACGAGACCAACUGUGACGCCCGGAUAAUUAAGCUACAGUGAUCCCACGCUAAUAUUGCCACGUCACCAUGGUUACUGCUGCUAAUCUAUCGCUAGAUCAAAACCGGUCCAAAAUUCAAAUUCAAAGUUUGGUAAAUAAUAAAAAAUUCAAACAUUAAAAUAAAAAUGUUUGGUUUGUACUAAAUAUUGCAUAGGUAAUUAUGGUGGAGAGACCACACUUCUAUAAAAUGUUAAAUAAUCUAAAAUGAAUAAAUAGUAGCUAAAACAAUUAAUAAGUGCUUUUUGAAUUUUAUAAAAUACUAAACUAUUUUGUUCAGGGGUAAAACCUUUUGUGACGGUAGUUGGAAUUGUAACUCUAUUUUAGAUGUGGGUUUUACCUUUUGUAAAACUAUAAAAUAUUAAAGAAAUAAAAGAAAACGGAAAGCAAAGAAAAGAAUAAAAACAAAAAAAGAAACUAGAAAAAAGAGAGGAAAGGACCCCCCCACUGGGCCAACNNNNNNNNNNNNNNNNNNNNNNNNNNNNNNNNNNNNNNNNNNNNNNNNNNNNNNNNNNNNNNNNNNNNNNNNNNNNNNNNNNNNNNNNNNNNNNNNNNNNNNNNNNNNNNNNNNNNNNNNNNNNNNNNNNNNNNNNNNNNNNNNNNNNNNNNNNNNNNNNNNNNNNNNNNNNNNNNNNNNNNNNNNNNNNNNNNNNNNNNNNNNNNNNNNNNNNNNNNNNNNNNNNNNNNNNNNNNNNNNNNNNNNNNNNNNNNNNNNNNNNNNNNNNNNNNGCUUUCCCCCAUCCGCCGCCACCUGCGUGCUCGCACAUAUCGCGCCCGGGAGAGGAGCUCCCCGCGCACGUCCCCUUCGCGAGUGCCUCCUACCACCGUGAAUGCAAGCCGCUCCGGCGAUGCUUCGCUACCCUGCCACCCACCGGCUCCCUUCCCCCUCUUCCUCUGCGCCUCCCCGUCGCCCCUGCCCGACUGCCUUGUCAUCGGCGGCCCGCGCCGCGCCGGCCAUCAGAGCAACCAGCCAGCACCACCAGCUCCUCCCGCGUGACGACCAUGUCGUUCUCCAUCGUCUGCGUCCGCUUGUCGCCCCGCUCACCGUCGUCGCCUCGCCAUCGCCGGACCUCCUCGUCCCCUUCCUCGAGCCGUCUUCAUCAAGCCUCGCCGGCGUACAUCUACAACGUGGGGUGAGGACCCGUUCUUCCCCUUCCCCCUUCGGUUGCCGGCGACGAUUGCAUCCAGCACCGAACCUGCCGUGGGCCGCUCCCUUGUACUAUUCGCUGCGCCUGCAGCCGGCGCCCUCACGCGCACACGCCCGUGCGUGGCCUCAUUGCCGCUGCUGCCGUGCUAUGCCAGCCGCUCGCCUCGCGCCGUCACAGCCGCCGUUCGGGUUCGCCCGUUAACGGGCGCCUGCCCGUCACCCAUUUCCCUUUCGCCCGUUCAGGCUGUGCCCAUCGCCCAUGCCUGCUAUGGCCCCAGGGGCCUAUGACAAGUGGGCCCUUGCCCUAGAACGUUUAUAAAAAUGUUAAAACUAAUUAGUUAAUUAAUUAAUUAGUGAAUUAAUUAAAUUAAUUAAUUCUGUUUAACUAGACUAAUUAAAAUUAGUUAACAUAAUCCAGUAAUUAAACUAAUUAACCAUGUUUAGUUAAUCUAUGGCUAUGACGGGCGUGACCCACCUGCCAGGGUUGACCUAGUCAACCUUUGGUCUUGCUGACAUCAUGUAGAUGUCAUGCUGACAUCACAUUUAUAUUUUGUAAUUAAAUUAGUUCUGUUAAUUCUAAAAAUGAAUUAAAAUUUCGAUAAUUAAUAUAAAAUAAACCGUAACCUGGAUGAAAAUACUUUGUACAUGAAAGUUGCUCAGAACGACAAGGCGAAUCCGAAUACGCAACCCGUUCGUCCGCCACGCGUCCCUAGCAUAGCAAACAUGCAACUUUCCCCCUUCGAUUCAUCUGUCCGAAAACGCGAAACACCGGGGAUACUUUCCCGGAUGUUUCCCCCUUUCGCCGGUACCACCUACUGCCACGUUAGGGCACACCUAGCACCGCGUAUUGCCAUGUUACGCUUUGUGAUGCUUUGAUUGCUCCAUUAUUUAUUGUGUUCCCCCUCCAUUACUUCUUUCCGGUAGACCCCAAGACUGCCAGCGACCCCAGUUCGACUAUGAAGUUGACGACCCCUCCUUGCCAGAGCAACCAGGCAAGCCCCCCCUUGAUCACCAGAUAUCGCCUAUUCUCCUCUAUACUGCUUGCAUUAGAGUAGUGUAGCAUGUUACUGUUCGGUUACUCCUAUUCUGUUGCAUAGCCUGUCAUUGUUGCUACAGUCAUUGAUACCUUACCCGCAGUCCUAAAUGCUUAGUAUAGGAUGCUAGUUUAUCAUCAUUGGCCCUACAUUCUUUUCAUUCUGCCUUGCUAUACUAUCGGGUCGUGAUCACUUGGGAGGUGAUCACGGGUAUAUACUAUACAUAUAUACAUACUAUACAUAUAUACAUACUAUACAGAUGGUGACUAAAGUCGGGCCAGCUCGUUGAGUACCCGCAAGUGAUUCUGAUGUGGGGGCUGGAAGGACAGGUGGCUCCAUCCCGGUAGAGGUGGGCCUGGGUUCCCGACGGCCCCCGACUAUUACUUUGUGGCGGAGCGACAGGGCAGGUUGAGACCGCCUAGGAGAGAGGUGGGCCUGGCCCUGGUCGGCGUCCGUGGUUAUUUCAUAAUAACACGCUUAACGAGAUCUUGGUAUUUGAUCUGAGUCUGGCCACUGGCCUAUACGCACUAACCAACUACGCGGGAACAGUUAUGGGCACUCGACGUCGUGGUAUCAGCCGAAGCCUUCUUGACGUCAGCGACGGAGCAGCGCGUGCCAGAUUGGACUGGAACGCCUACUCUUGUAUAAGGGAGGCUAGGUCUGCUUCCGGCCGCCCUCGCAACGUGCAGGUGUGCAAUGGGCGAUGGGCCCAGACCCCUGCACGCAUAGGAUUUAGACCGGUGUGUUGACCUCUCUGUUGUGCCUAGGUGGGGCUGCGACGUGUUGAUAUUCCGAGGCCGGGCAUGACCCAGGAAAGUGUGUCCGGCCAAAUGGGAUCGAGCGUGUUGGGUUAUGUGGUGCACCCCUGCAGGGAAGUUAAUCUAUUCGAAUAGCCGUGAUCUUCGGUAACAGGACGACUUGGAGUUGUACCUUGACCUUAUGACAAGUAGAAUCGGAUACUUAAUAAAACACACCCUUCCAAGUGCCAGAUACAACCCGGUGAUCGCUCUCUAACAGGGCGACAAGGGGAGGAUCGCCGGGUAGGAUUAUGCUAUGCGAUGCUACUUGGAGGACUUCAAUCUACUCUCUUCUACAUGCUGCAAGACGGAGGCUGCCAGAAGCGUAGUCUUCGAUAGGGCUAGCUAUCCCCCUCUUAUUCUGGCAUUCUGCAGUUCAGUCCACUCAUAUUGCCUCCUUACACAUAUACCCAUGCAUAUGUAGUGUAGCUCCUUGCUUGUGAGUACUUUGGAUGAGUACUCACGGUUGCUUUUCUCCCUCUUUUCCCCCUUUCCCUUCUACCUUGUUGUCGCAACCAGAUGUCGGAGCCCAGGAGCCAGACGCCACCGUCGACGACGACUCCUACUACAUUGGAGGUGCCUACUACUACGUGCAGGCUGCUGACGAUGACCAGGAGUAGUUAGGAGGAUCCCAGGCAGGAGGCCCGCGCCUCUUUCGAGCUGUAUCCCAGUUUGUGUUAGCCUUCUUAAGGCAAACUUGUUUAACUUAUGUCUGUACUCAGAUAUUGUUGCUUCCGCUGACUCGUCUAUGAUCGAGCACUUGUAUUCGAGCCCUCGAGGCCCCUGGCUUGUAAUAUGAUGCCGGUAUGACUUAUUUUACUUUUAGAGUUGUGUUGUGAUAUCUUCCCGUGAGUCCCUGAUCUUGAUCGUACAUAUUUGCAUGCAUGAUUAGUGUACGAUUGAAUCGAGGGCGUCACAAGUUGGUAUUAGAGCCGACUGCCUGUAGGAAUCCCCUUCCACACUCCUUGGCCAAAGUCGAGUCUAGUCACUACAAAACUUUUACUAACAUGGCUGCGUGUCUUACGGGCCCACGUCUCCAUUUGGGUGGUAUUAGGAUCUUUUACUCCUCGUCUAUACUCUGGGACUCUGAUCUCUCUUCUAUUCGGGUUAAAUGAUUUUGCUAAAAAGACUAACUUUAGGUUCUCGAAAAUACUUUCUCCCGGAGAGCCCUCACUCCAGAUGAUCGCUUGCCGCACCAGAAGAUUCCGAAGAUACUCUUCGAGGUUUUUCCGAGACCCUUGUGCCCAUCGACUUUAUAAUCCCCUACCACCGAUAAACCCUUAUGGAUAACUACCUACAAUUGUCGUUCAUACCUUCAUCCUCAGUUGCUCUUGUUAUUACAAGAUGCCUUAAGUUGCUCUACGUUGUUCCGAAAAUCUUUUAAGCUUACUGUGUUGCAGUUCUCUACCACAUGAAUACCCCUAUUGAAAAUUCCUCGCACUUAUUGAGUAUCCGUUCAUCCCCAGUUGUUCAUAUGCUUCAUAAGAGUCUCUGAAAUACUAUCCGACCUUCUGAGCAUCCUCUUCAAACUAUUGCUCUGCAAAUACUUGUAUGCUUACAUUAUGGAUGCUCCCAUAUCACUAGCAAUAUUCACUAGUAUCUUUUGACACUGUCAUUUUGAUCCUAUUGAUUCAACAUGUGUGCGAAUGCACACAAUCAUCAAUCGACCCUUCUAAAUUAUCUUUCCGUCUCAGACAUCAUUCUGAACAUGAACUGGUUCUAGACCAAACUAUUUGUCGUCAAUUGUGCCUCUGGUCUAUCCAACUUAUCCAUCCUUGAUCAUAGCGUCUGCUUCUGAUCCCUUGUUUUGGAAAUCAUAAUUCCUUUGUUAUCUAAGCAUCGAAUUAUUCGGAUAUUCUAUAAUCUGAUGCCCGUGCAUUCUUUCUUCCUCUGAUUGAGUACUGAUACUCAGAUCAGCUCCGGUGUGGAUCGCCCGAUCCAUUGUUGGAUUUCAUCCGACAUCGUCUUUCAUAUUCAAUAACCUUGUGAGCCUUUCCACGGGUAUAUAAUGCCUUUGGUAAAUUGUAUCCUUUGCUUGGCCAACCAUGCUCUGCUUUCAAGCUUGUGUAUUUACUUUUGAAACUUGUGGUAUAUGUUACUAAGAUGCCCGAUGGGUUGAACCUAUGCCUUCCCCUAAUUCGUGAGAACCCGAAAGUUUUCACAAGUCAUACUCUUCUGGUGUUUUACCAGAUAAAAUUCCAAAACUACAGUUAUAUCAAAGCGAGAGGUGAAUGAAAUGAUAUGCAUUAAAGAAGUGGGAGUUAACCUUGAACUUUGUGUUCAUGCCCAUGAAAAUGAUGUAGACCAUCUCGGAAGCUUCUUGCAAAAUGAUUAUCCAGCUGUAUGAUUCUUUCGGUAUUCUUGAAUUGAUUCCUUACAGUUAUGGUUCCGACCAUGCUGUCCUGAUCUGAUAUAUCUGAUGGGAAUUCAUUCCAAUGCCUCGUCUAUUUUUGGCGAGGUUAAAGUAUCUACUAUCACAGAUCAAUGACCCGGUUCUACUUCUAUCAUGUUCUACCUUCGAGUAUUACCCCUGGUAUCUCAAAGAUAUCUUGCCAUUGCACCACAUCUUACUAACUUUGUUGAAGUAAUGUCUUUCCUUGUCGUAAUCACUCUACGGGUUCCGGGUUGUUGUCAACCGAGGACACCGACUAGUGAAAUUAUUCUGCACUACAAAUCAAAUACCCCUAGUAUUUUUACUAGGAAAUUUUGAACUCAAUCUGCUCAUUCCUAGACUAUCGGCUGCAUCCUGGUCUUGCUACCUUUGACUGUGCUACCUCGUCCUUCUCUAGUGCACGAAUUCUUCAGUGUGUGAGCACGACUUACGUCGAGCUUUCAACAUCAUGUUGCUUGUCUUCAAAGGCAACUUUGGUUCCGAGCUUGCAUCUUAUAUAUUGAUCCUAUAACUUGCCACUUCGUCAUUUCCUUGCUUGUUGCCAUUGUUGUUUGAUUGCAUCCUCUUGAAACCUCCCGGCAAAUGUGUCGGAUCACCUUCAACACUUUGACUUCUUUCGAGAUGUCAACUGUGUUCAUCAUGAGAAAUACCCUCCUUGCCCUCGAUGAUUUUUAGUAUCAUCGACAACACCCUUGACUUUCCUUUCAUCGCGAACUUGUCCACAUUAUGAAUACAACUUGCUUUCCAGCUUGUAUUAUGUUCUACCUUGAAGUAUUACUAUCUUUUAUGUCAAGGAUGUUGUGAGGAUUGCUCCACCUCUUGAGAGUUCCUAGUAUAGUGAUACUUCUCACCAUCACCAUUAAUUCUUGUUCCCUAUGUCAAUUCUAACUGGUACACCGACAAGUGAACGGUACUCUUUGGAUUCUGCACUUCUAGUGACCCUAUUGCUUUGAAGUUAAUGGUCUACAUUUCAUUCUUAGACCAUUGGUUAUCGAAUCAUCGUUCUAAGCAUUGAUCAUGCUACAUAGGCCCAUAUUUUGGGUGCACCUUUUCAACCAAUGUUUAAUUGUGUAUGUUUUCCUCGAGCAUACAUCAUUAUAUCAUCUGAUCUGACUGAUGUUAUCUCCUUGUUCACAUGAUUGUGGAAAUCCAUAUUUCUGGAAAUUUUGAUGGGUUGUCGCUGAGUCCAUCAGCCACCUCCGCAUCCUCUCUUUUGUUUACUAUGAACUCUUGUUUCGGUACUCGCUUCCAUAGUUCAUUUUCCGAGAAUUUUACAAUGUCAUCUCGUCAAUUUGUGUUGUACCUUUUCUUCUCAGGCAUCCCGAGUCUGAGGAUUUUGACACCAAUCAGAUCUGAAUCUUUGUCAGAUAUGAUGGUUGGGACAUAUUUCCAAGAGUUAUAACAUUGGUAUUUAUAUGACCCAGUAAGGUGAUGUCAUGCCUAGCACACCUGGCCCGAGUCCCUAUUGUUAUAGAAUCCUUUUCAGCAAGGCUAUCCAUUCUUCCAUGAGGAAAUUGUAAGACUUACCCUAUAAGUUGUUUCCGAUGAAUCCUUUGUGUUUCCAAAGUUUGAUCAUCAGCUGAUGACCAUGCCAAUGCUAUCUCGAAGCAUGUCUGUGGUACUCCGAUUUUCAACAAGAACAUUUGAAGCCCAAUGCUAAAUGUUUCUUACUCAAUUAUCCAAACACCGUUGCAUGGGUAAUGUCAUGAAAUUUCUCUCCCCUUACCUAAAGGGUUUUCUACAUUAUAUCCUGUCAUGGAUAUCAUGCUCGGCUUGUCCUUGGGAAGGAUAUACCCUGAAAUAUGUGUUUAAACACAUAUUCCUUUCCAUUAAAUUGUUUGACCUUCCUUGUGAUCCAUAUGAUCUAAGCACUAAUGUUCUUCUGCUUAUGUAAACACCUUAGUGUACAACCGUGUCAGUAAGACCCUGUUGCAUUUCUCGAUAGCAUUCCGGUAACCACCGAUGGACGAGAACUUUGCCUAUUGGUCCGCCUCGUCCUAACGAGCAGGAAAAUGGUUCUCUUUGUCCCUCGCCCUUGGUACCGACGUUAUUGCCGACAUAAUCGGCAGGCUACCCUCAGACAUGCCUUGCUUGCAUGAUCACGCAAGACGUCUCCGCCCUUCCUACUUUUAACCCACAUGGUGGGCCCAUAACCCACAGUUCCACAUGAUCGAAACCUGACUCUCCUGUGCACCCCCUGUUCCCAAAUUUAUUCCUCGCGCGUGGCCUCGUAUGUAAUUCACGGACCACCGUCCUACUGAUCUAUACUGGCAUAAGACAAAAUACUUAUUCUGAUUGCUUUGAACCCCUUUCACACUCUGUUUCAGGCAUCGAACGAUUGCCUGCCGCUUGAAACUUCUCAUGACACCUUCCUACUUUGCUCUCGAUAUUUUCUAAAGGUUUUUAAUUCGAGAGUUACUUCCCCCACCUUCCCCGAUGUUAUCAACAAGUUAGUCAACCUUGCAGAGGUCUGUUCUCCCAGCCCCUUUAUUCUUUCAUAAGUACGGUGAAAGUUCCUGAAGAAAGGAUGCCGACUUCAUCAUGAUGACUGGAGCAGAGAAAUAAAGAAAUCAACGAAAGGGAUCAACUUCUUCGAGAAGAGCAACCGAAACUGAGAAGAUCCGUUAGAUUUUUUGUAACCCAAUCCUUUUCCCCUUACUCCCCUCCUAAAUCUCGGGACGAGAUUUCUUGUAGUGGAGGAGAAUUGUGACGCCCGGAUAAUUAAGCUAUAGUGAUCCCACGCUAAUGUUGCCACGUCACCACGGUUACUGCUGCUAAUCUAUUGCUAGAUCAAAACCGGUCCAAAAUUCAAAUUCAAAGUUUGGUAAAUAAUAAAAGUUUUCACACAUUAAAAUAAAAAUGUUUGGUUUGUACUAAAUAUUGCAUAGGUAAUUAUGGUGGAGAGACCACACUUCUAUAAAAUGUUAAAUAAUCUAAAAUGAAUAAAUAGUAGCUAAAACAAUUAAUAAGUGCCUUUUGAAUUUUAUAAAAUACUAAACUAUUUUGUUCAGGGGUAAAACUUUUUGUGAUGGUAGUUGGAAUUGUAACUCUAUUUUAGGUGUGGGUUUUACCUUUUGUAAAACUAUAAAAUAUUAAAGAAAUAAAAGAAAACAGAAAGCAAAGAAAAGAAUAAAAACAAAAAAAACAAAACUAGAAAAAAGAGAGGAAAGGAACCCCCCCCCACUGGGCCAACGGGCCCAACUGGCCAGCCAGGCCCCCUCGCGCCCCUCGCCUAUAUGGCCUGCCCUCCCGGCCAACCCUAGCCACACCAUCCUGCACUCCUCGAUCCCCAUCUCUCCCCUCGCUUUCCCCCAUCCACCGCCACCUGCGUGCUCGCACAUAUCGCGCCCGGGAGAGGAGCUCCCCGCGCACGUCCCCUUCGCGAGUGCCUCCUACCACCGCGAAUGCAAGCCGCUCCAGCGAUGCUUCGCUACCCUGCCACCCACCGGCUCCCUUCCUCCUGUUCCUCUGCGCCUCCCCAUCGCCCCUGCCCGACUGCCUUGUCAACGGCGGCCCGCGCCGCGCCGGCCAUCGCAGCAACCAGCCAGCACCACCAGCUCCUCCCGCGUGACGACCACGUCGUUCUCCAUCGUUUGCGGCCGCUCGUCAACCCGCUCAUCGUCGUCGCCUCGCCAUCGCCGGACCUCCCCGUGCCCUUCCUCGAUCCGUCUUCAUCAAGCCUCGCCGGCGUACAUCUACAACGUGGGGUGAGGACCCCGUUCUUCCCCUUCCCCCUUCGGUCGCCGGCGACGACCGCAUCCAGCACCGAACCUGCCGUGGGCCGCGCCCUUGCACUAUUCGCCGCGCCUGCAGCCGGCGCCCUCACGCGCACACGCCCGUGUGUGGCCUCAUUGCCGCUGCUGCCGCGCUAUGCCAGCCGCUCGCCUCGCGCCGUCACAGCCGCCGCUCGGGUUCGCCCGUUAACGGGCGCCCGCCCGUCACCCAUUUCCCUUUCGCCCGUUCAGGCUGUGCCCAUCGCCCAUGCCUGCUAUGGCCCCAGGGGCUUAUGACAAGUGGGCCCUUGCCCUAGAAUGUUUAUAAAAAUGUUAAAACUAAUUAGUUAAUUAAUUAAUUAGUGAAUUAAUUAAAUUAAUUAAUUCUGUUUAACUAGACUAAUUAAAAUUAGUUAACAUAAUCCAGUAAUUAAACUAAUUAACCAUGUUUAGUUAAUCUAUGGCUAUGACGGGCGUGACCCACCUGCCAGGGUUGACCUAGUCAACCUUUGGUCUUGCUGGCAUCAUGCACAUGUCAUGCUGACAUCAUAUUUAUAUUUUGUAAUUAAAUUAGUUCUGUUAAUUCUAAAAAUGAAUUAAAACUUUGAUAAUUAAUAUAAAAUAAACCAUAACCCGGAUGAAAAUACUUUGUACAUGAAAGUUGCUCAGAACGACGAGGCGAAUCCGAAUACGCAGCCCGUUCGUCCGCCACGCGUCCCUAGCAUAGCAAACAAGCAAAUUUCCCCCUCCGGUUCAUCUGUCCGAAAACGCGAAACACCGGGGAUACUUUCCCGGAUGUUUCCCCCUUUCGCCGGUACCACCUACUGCCGCGUUAGGGCACACCUAGCACCGCGUAUUGCCGUGUUACGCUUUGUGAUGCUUUGAUUGCUCCAUUAUUUAUUGUGUUCCCCCUUCGUUACAUCUUUCCGGUAGACCCCAAGACUGCCGGCGACCCCAGUUCGACUACGGAGUUGACGACCCCUCCUUGCCAGAGCAACCAGGCAAGCCCCCCCUUGAUUACCAGAUAUCGCCUAUUCUCCUCUAUACUGCUUGCAUUAGAGUAGUGUAGCAUGUUACUGUUUGGUUACUCCUAUUCUGUUGCAUAGCCUGUCAUUGUUGCUACAGUCAUUGAUACCUUACCCGCAAUCCUAAAUGCUUAGUAUAGGAUGCUAGUUUAUCAUCAUUGGCCCUACAUUCUUGUCAUUCUGCCUUGCUAUACUAUCGGGCCGUGAUCACUUGGGAGGUGAUCACGGGUAUAUACUAUACAUAUAUACAUACUAUACAGAUGGUGACUAAAGUCGGGCCAGCUCGUUGAGUACCCGCAAGUGAUUCUGAUGUGGGGGCUGGAAGGACAGGUGGCUCCAUCCCGGUAGAGGUGGGCCUGGGUUCCCGACGGCCCCCGACUGUUACUUUGUGGCGGAGUGACAGGGCAGGUUGAGACCGCCUAGGAGAGAGGUGGGCCUGGCCCUGGUCGGCGUCCGUGGUUAUUUCAUAAUAACACGCUUAACGAGAUCUUGGUAUUUGAUCUGAGUCUAGCCACUGGCCUAUACGCACUAACCAACUACGCGGGAACAGUUAUGGGCACUCGACGUCGUGGUAUCAGCCGAAGCCUUCUUGACGUCAGCGACGGAGCGGCGCGCGCCGGAUUGGACUGGAACGCCUACUCUUGUAUAAGGGAGGCUAGGUCUGCUUCCGGCCGCCCUCGCAACGUGCAGGUGUGCACUGGGCGAUGGGCCCAGACCCCUGCGCGCAUAGGAUUUAGACCGGCGUGUUGACCUCUCUGUUGUGCCUAGUUGGGGCUGCGAUGUGUUGAUCUUCCGAGGCCGAGCAUGACCCAGGAAAGUGUGUCCGGCCAAAUGGGAUCGAGCGUGUUGGGUUAUGUGGUGCACCCCUGCAGGGAAGUUAAUCUAUUCGAAUAGCCGUGAUCUUCGGUAACAGGACGACUUGGAGUUGUACCUUGACCUUAUGACAACUAGAACUGGAUACUUAAUAAAACACACCCUUCCAAGUGCCAGAUACAACCCGGUGAUCGCUCUCUAACAGGGCGACGAGGGGAGGAUCGCCGGGUAGGAUUAUGCUAUGCGAUGCUACUUGGAGGACUUCAAUCUACUCUCUUCUACAUGCUGCAAGACGGAGGCUGCCAGAAGCGUAGUCUUCGAUAGGGCUAGCUAUCCCCCUCUUAUUCUGGCAUUCUGCAGUUCAGUCCACUCAUAUUGCCUCCUUACACAUAUACCCAUGCAUAUGUAGUGUAGCUCCUUGCUUGCGAGUACUUUGGAUGAGUACUCACGGUUGCUUUUCUCCCUCUUUCCCCCCUUUCCCUUCUACCUGGUUGUCGCAACCAGAUGUCGGAGCCCAGGAGCCAGACGCCACCGUCGACGACGACUCCUACUACACUGGAGGUGCCUACUACUACGUGCAGGCUGCUGACGACAACCAGGAGUAGUUAGGAGGAUCCCAGGAAGGAGGCCUGCGCCUCUUUCGAUCUGUAUCCCAGUUUGUGCUAGCCUUCUUAAGGCAAACUUGUUUAACUUAUGUAUGUACUCAGAUAUUGUUGCUUCCGCUGAAUCGUCUAUGAUCGAGCACUUGUAUUCGAGCCCUCGAGGCCCCUGGCUUGUAAUAUGAUGCUUGUAUGACUUAUUUUACUUUUAGAGUUGUGUUGUGAUAUCUUCCCGUGAGUCCCUGAUCUUGAUCGUACACAUUUGCAUGCAUGAUUAGUGUACGAUUGAAUCAGGGGCAUCACACCAACCCCGCCUGGUGGCAUUUUUGUAUACAAGAAAACUCCAUGAGCACCAAACACUCAAGCAUAGACUUGAACCCUAAUGGGCUGGCUGCGAACUCCCGCGCCUUGCCAACUGAGCUACGCUCAAUUCUCAUCAGUUUGUUGAUUGCUAUUUUGGCCUUGAUGAUCUUUGAAUCGAUGGAUUCCAACACCCACUUAUUCUGUUGUCGAUUCAGAAGCGCCUCGUUUAUUCUGAUUUUGGCGAGUUAAUUGCACAGAAGUACCACAAUUGAGGCAUCACAUGCAGAUUGGUGCCACGAUUGCUAAUUUUUGCGUGUCAGUACCAACAUUGGUCCAGGUUUUUACAAAAGAGGCUAAAAUGCGUAUUUAUACGUAUUGACGCUAGAACCGACAACUGGGCCCCACCCGUCAGGUGCCACGCUGGCCAAUCGGCGCAUGCCUGCGUGUGCCCGCGCGCUGACUAGGACAAGCCGGUGCGUUGCUCUCCUAACCGGCGCGGUCGCACCAGCCCGAGCCCGGCCGCACCAUUCCCCUCCCCUCUUCCUCCUCGACUCGAACCCUAGUCCAUGGCGUCGACGACUCCGCCAGGCGGCGGUGAGGGCGUCCAUGGCGGCGGUGAGAUGUCGUUCUGGCCUCCUAGCGGAAUGGCUGGCGUGGACGGGGAUGGCGGCGACGACUCCAGCUCCGCGUACUCGUUCGACGACGAGGAGUCGAUGUUACUCACCAUGGAGCAGCGGUUGCGGUUGGCGCAUCAGUGGGUGGCGAACCCUAGCAGCAGCCAUGAGUUGACGCAUGGACUAGGCGACGUGUUGUAAGUACCCUUGUCCUACUCCUCCUCUGAUUUAUCCAAUUGGGCAUUUUUAGGGUUUGUUCAUCUUCUGCUUUAUCCAGUUGGGUAUUAGGUUUUAUCCAAUUGAAGUGACUAGUAUAGGACAAUUAAAUUAACCUAGUAACAUAGUGUAUUGCACUCUCAAAUUAGUUCAAUUACAGUAAAAGUUUGGGAUUAUGGUUUUACUAAGUGAAUUAUUGUGGCCUUGUCUUUUUCCUUGAUUUUGCUAUUGUGCUGAAUUAGUAAAGUACAUUGAUUCAUGUUUUAGCAUCUGUAAUAGUAAUAGUAAAUAUUAGACUUACAGGUUAUUUUAAAUUGUUCUGUACUGUAGUGUUGCUCUCCAAAUUAAGAGCAAUUAUAAUGAAUACAUGAAAUUUAAUUUGUUCUGUAGUUUUGAUGAAGACAUUUGGCAAGUAAGGAUCCAUUUUGAUGCAAGAGAACCAUUGGAGAUGAAGCUGUGUGGUUCAGAUAUUACUUAUCUGAAUUUGGUUGCAGUGAUGGAAACCCAAGGAUUUAAUGCAUAUGAUUGUUUGUAUCACAUUGAAAAUCCAUCUUUAGGAGAGAAAGGGCUGGAUUUGGUAGACAAUCAUGCAGAAUUACAGAUGAUAAAGAGGAAGAUCCAGGACAAAUUGGUGCUUAAUUUGCUAGUCAGGGCUUGUCCACCCCAUGAUACUGAUUUUGAGAUGCAACAUUUUGGAAAGCCAGAGUUGUCCACUGUGGUGUACCAAGAGCCUAUUGUUUAUGAUCCGAGUGAGCCUCCUAUCUUAGCUGUCGACCAGGAAGGAGUAGUUUUUGAGAGUCAAUGUAGCAUCUCUAGCACACCUCAUCCUGCUGGUCCUCCUGGUGUUUGCACACAAGAAAGCAAGAAUGCAACAGCCAAGUUAAAAUCAGUUUUGGAAGAAGAAGAAGAGGGAUAUCAAGGAUUUGAGGCUUAUGAGGACAGUGAUGCCUCUGAUGAGGAUGGUCAAAUUGGAAGUGACCCUCAUUACAUCGUUGAUGAUGAAGAUGUAGAGGUGGAAGAGGGAAAGAGACAGAGAGAGCUAGAAGUACAAGAGGAAGAACCAGAUGAUGAUCAAACAGAAGAGGAAGAAAUGAUGCAUUAUGAGGGUGACACUGAAGUUGAGGACCCAUUUGAGGUAGAGGAAGAUAGGACUUUUGAACAAGAAGAAGAAAUUAUAGUUGAGCCUGUAAAGAAGAAGCAGAAGCUGCCAGUUAGAAGAGGACCAACCACUAGGUCACAUUGUAGUAAGCUACCAGAGGUUGAACCUGAUUUCAGACCAUCAUCAGAUGAAGAAGAGAAGGGGUUGUUGAGGGAGAGUGAUGAUGAUGGUUUUGAGCCACUCUCUUUUGUCCUACUAAAGAAAAGGAAGAGUAGGGCAAAGAAAAGGCCUGCUAGGAAGUGUUACAAUGAGAAAAUGGAGCAACCACAUGAGCAACUGUGUAUAAAGUUGUGUUUUAGGGAUCAGCAUCAAUUCAGAGAUGCUUUGUUGAAUUUGCACAUCACUCAGGCCAGGGAUUUCAAGUAUCACAGGAAUUCAGAUCAAAGGAUAAUUGUUGAGUGUACAGAUAAACAAUGCCAAUUCUUAAUGGUGGCAGCAGUUAUAAAAGGGGGAAAACCUUUGUAAUUAAGAAGAUGAGACUAGAGCACACUUGCCCUAGUACCACUGAGACCACCAGGGUUAGUGCUAAGUGGCUAGCACAGAAAUAUGAGCAUCUCUUCAUAUCUGAUAUAACUACUGGUAUUCAGACUAUAAUUGAUGCAUGCAAUGAAAAAUAUGGUGUAGAUGUGCCCAAGUGCAUGGCAUAUAGGGCAAAGAACAUAGCUAUUGAAGCUGUGUUAGGAGAUCACAAGAAGCAAUAUACUAGGCUUAAAGACUAUGCUCAGACUGUCAUGGACACAAACCCUGGGAGUAGAGUAAUAGUCACUACUAUUACUCCAGUACCAAAUGCAAAAAUACCCCACCCAGGCCCAAGAUUCCAUGCCAUGUUCUUUUGCCUUAAUGGAGCAAGGGAGGGGUUUCUCAAUGGGUGUAGGCCAUUCACUGGUUAGUUCCCUAACCCUGUGCACCAUUUACAUACGUAGAGUACUCCAUAUUGUAUCUCACUUGAAUGUAUUUAAUGUUUGGAAAUGUUGAUUCUGCAGGUGUUGAUGGAUGCUUCAUUAAGCUCACUACAGGUGCUCAACUACUUGCUACCACUGGUAGAGAUGGCAACAACAACAUAUAUCCACUGGCAUUUGGCAUAGUUGGUCAAGAGGACACACCUAGUUGGUGUUGGUUUCUACACCAACUGAAAAUUUGCCUAGGGGGAGAAGUGGGCAAGUUUGGACCUUAUACUAUAAUGUCAGAUAGACAAAAGGUAUGUGUUUGCAUAUUUCAUUCUGUUUUGAACAAGUGUUUAAAGUAGCUUAGAUUUUCAUUGGUGCAUAUUUCUUUAGCUUGUAGCUUAGACUUGUUAAAUUGUUUGUGUCAGGGGUUAUUGAAUGCAGUGAAUGCCGUGUUUCCAAAUUGCAACCAAAGAUUCUGCCUUAGACAUUUAUAUGCAAAUUUCCAAAAUGCUGGAUUUAGGGGUGAAGAUCUUAAGAAAUGCAUGGAUAAUGCUAGCUAUGCCAACAAUGAACACAUAUUUAAUAUUGCAAUGAAUGAUCUUAGAGCUGAAAGUGAGGAAGUUGGGAAUGGCUUACUACAAUACCAAAAAAAACAUGGGCAAGGCAUGCAUUUGACACAAACUGCAAGACUGACUUGGUAGUGAACAACUUGUCUGAGGUGUUCAACAAGUACAUUCUAGAUGUUAGGAGAAAACCUAUAAGGACAAUGUGUGAUGGGAUAAAAUAUAAGUAGAUGGUGAGGUGGCACAUGAAGAGAGAGUGCAUAAAGGCAGCAAGAUGGGAGAUAACACCUCAUUACAGUGAGAAGCUAGAGGUUGAGAAGGAGAGGGCCAGAUACUGCAAGCCAAUACAGGCAGGGGGUCAACUUAUGGCAAGUUACAAGUGGGCAGCAAACAAAUGUUAUCAACCUGGAACUUGAGACUUGUGGAUGCAAGAAGUGGGACCUUAGUGGCAUACCUUGCAACCAUGCCAUCUCUGCAAUAAACAAGGCUAAAAAUAAACCAGAGGAUUAUGCCAGCAAAUUCUUCAAGAAAGAUUUUUAUGUUGCAGCUUAUGAACCAAUGAUCUUUCCUGUGCCUAGUGAGCAUGAUUGGACAAGGACCCCUAGUCCAGACAUAGAACCACCUGCAUUCAAAAUCAAGAGAGGAAGAAGGAAAGAAAAGAGGGUCAAGGGCAAAUUUGAAGUACCAAAGUCAAAAGACACUUCAAGAAUGGGGACCAUAACAUGUGGCAAUUGUGGUCUACAAGGGCAUAGGUACACAAACUGUCUUAAACAGUUGAAGCCUGAGCUAGCUUUGAGGAAGAAUAAGCAUGUGGUAAUAAUUUUUCACCUUGAAAUAUACUAAUGUUUCCUUUCUUGUACAUUUCUUUCUAUCAUUAUUAACUGUUUCCUUUUCUUUGUAAGGCUACUCCAAGUACCUCACAGCCAAGAGCUGCUGGUCCUUCUACUACACCAAUAGCAAGACAGCCAAGACAUGCUGCUUCUGCUCCUACACCACCAUCAUCUGGAAGAAGAGGAGCUGGCAGAGGAAGAGCUGCUACUACUUCUACUACUCCACCACCAUCUGGAAGAGGAGCUGGCAGAGGAAGAGCUGCUGCUACUUCUACUACCCCGUUCGUCCGCAGCAGCAGCGUCAACUCCACCAGGACCGAGGAGGGCGCGUCGGCAGCGUCAGGGAGGUUCACCUGCCCCGGCGGCCACGGCCACGGUCGGCGCCCACGAGCGGCCGCAUUGCAAGAAAGUCGCUCCGACGACGACAACCGCAGCUGGUAGCAACAGCAACGGCAACAGCGGUGGCGGUGCGAGAUCGGUUUACUACUACGGGUACGGAGGCGGCAGGAGCGGCAGCGACGGCCAUGGUGGCGGCGGGGUCCAGGUGAGCCCGGUGCUGAAUGUGACGUCCAUCGGCACGAGCGUGGUGAACAUGCUGAGCCACCUGCUGUGCGACUGUAGCGAGAAGGCCCCCAAGCAGCAGAGUAGGGGCUUCGGAGUGCGCUGCUGGGUAACCAGGUAGUAAUACAAGCAGUAGUACUACAAGUUAAGCGCACUCGUUAAAAUUGUUAUGAAAGCAACUUAUAUUAUUAGGAGGCCAAUGUCAACAUAUAUACACAUACAUGAGGAUGCCAAAAGGCUACAAGAGGAUGCCAAGAGACUAGAAUGCAAAAGGCCAAAAGACAUCACUUAAUAUGACUCUAACACCCCCCCUCAAACUCAUCGUGGAUCCACAACACUGAGUUUGGAGAGAUGAAAUCCAUGUUGCGCUCUAGUCUGAGCAUUCGUGAAGAAGUCCACUAGAUGUAACUCAGAAGGCACAUACUGAAGAGCAAAAACAUGAUCAUGCACAGCAGCGCGCACAUAAGAAGCAUCAACACCAAUGUGUUUGGUAAGCUCAUGCUUCACGGGGUCCCGCGCAAUACUGAUAGCACCUGUGCUGUCUGACAGGAGGGUGGUAGGUGUAGUAAUAGAAACACCAAAAUCCUCCAGUAACCAUCGUAACCAAGUCACCUCAGCCGUCAGAAGAGCCAUAGCUCGCAACUCGGCCUCUGCACUCAAACGAGAAACUGCAGUUUGUUUCUUCGUCUUCCAGGAAAUGAGGGAACCACCAAGAAAGACACAGUAGGCAGAAAGUGAACGGCGAUCCAUAGGAUCACUAGCCCACGUAGCAUCCGAAUAGGCCUGGAGCUGUAACGAGCUGUAACGGGAAAAAAGAGACAAUGAGAGAUCGUGCCAUGAAGAUAUCGUAGAACGCGAAGAAGGUGACUAUAGUGAACUGAAGUGGGAGCAGAAACGAACUGACUCAGAAUAUGGACAUGAUAGGAGAUAUCUGGACGAGUGACAGCAAGAUACACAAGACUCCCAACAAGAUGACGAUAACGUGUCGGAUCAGACAAGGGCUCACCAUCAGAAGCACGAAGGUGAACAUUGAGCUCCAUAGGAGUAUCAUUAGUGCGCUCAUCACUAAGAGCCGCACGAGUAAGAAGACCCUGGAUAUACUUUUCUUGGGAAAUAAAAAAGUCUGCAGAGGUGGAGGAAACCUCAAUCUCAAGAAAGUAACGAAGAGGACCAAGAUCAGACAUAAAGAACUGCUCAUUAAGACGGGCCUUGACAAAGGCAAUGUACUCAGAAUCAUCGCCGGUGAUGAUCAUGUCAUCAACAUAUAGAAGAAGAAGAGUGCGACCACGAGCAGAAAGGUGGACAAACAACGCUGGAUCGUGAUCACUGGGUGAAAAACCAGCAGCAGUGACCACAGAGGCAAAAUGCUCAAACCAAGCGCGAGGGGCUUGCUUAAGGCCGUAGAGAGAGCGACGAAGACGACAAACCAUGCCAUCGGGAACUGAAUACCCAGGUGGUGGCUGCAUAUAAACCUCCUCAUGCAACUCACCAUUAAGAAAGGCAUUUUUAACAUCAAGCUAUGACACGGACCAGUGACGAAUAGAGGCCACAGCGAAAAGUGUGCGGACAGUGGUCAUAUGGGCCAUAGGAGCAAAAGUCUCAUCAUAAUCACGACCAUGCUCCUGUUGAAAGCCGCGAGCCACAAGACAAGCUUUAUAACGCUCAAGAGAACCAUCAGAGCGAGUCUUAAUCUUAUAGACCCACUUACAAGUUAUGGGACGAACACGGGGAGGAAGAGAAACCAGAUCCCAUGUGCCAUUGCGCUCAAGUGUGGCAAUCUCCUCUGCCAUCGCAAACUGCCAUUCAGGAUGAACAAGAGCAUCACGAUAAGAGGUAGGCUCAAGUACAACCGAAAGGCCAUAUCGGCUAGGAGAAUAGCGGUCAGGAGGAGAGCAAGGUCGAGCCCGAAGACCAUAAGUCGGCUGGGACGAGGAAGACGGUGCACCAGAAGUAGAUGGCACGUCAGUAGAUUCAUCCAUAACACGUCGACAACGGGUAUAAUGAAAAGGAAAAGUGGGAUGAGAAGGAACCACCGGAGGUGAUGGAGAUGGUGAAUACAUUGGUGAUGAAGGUGGAGUGUCAUGCAAUAAGGAAGGAGAAGAAACGAUAGGAGAAGAUGGUGUCGGAUCUGCAAUAGUGGGACGAGAAGGAGGAGUAGGAAUAUGAGGCAUAGAGGGAGGUGUAUCAGGAAACGUGAGAAAAGAUAUAUCCUCUACUGAAAAGGUCGAAGAGGAUGGUCGUGGGUAGAAUGGACGAGACUCAUCAAAAGUCACAUCCCUAGAAAUACGCAUCCGUUGACCGACAUGAUCCCAACACCGAUAACCCUUAGGUUCAUCACUGUAACCCAGAAAAACACACUCAACAGACUGAGCGGUUAGUUUGGUGCGUUCUCAGGGGGCAAGGAGAACAUAACAAACACAACAAACAACCGAAGAGCAGAAUAAUCAGGAGAAUGAUCAGAAAGACGCUCUAGAGGAAUACCUCCCUGUAGAGCAGAUGAGGGUUGAAUGUUUAUGAGAUAUGUGGCAAUGGAGACAGCCUGAGCCCAGAAAUGAGGCGGAAGAGAUGCGGCAAUCAUCAUCGCACGAGAUGUCUCAAGAAGGUGACGAUGCUUGCGCUUAGCCACGCCAUUCUGAGCGUGAGCGCCGGGACAAGAGAAUUGAGCAAGAGUACCCUGCUCGGCAAGAAAACCACGCAACACUUUGGAGAUAUACUCGCCAGCAGAAUCAGCACGAAACACGCGAAUAGGUGUAGAGAACUGAGUGUGGACCAUGGCGGCAAAACGCUUAUAAAUAGAGAGAACCUCGCUACGAGAAGACAUGAAGUAAAGCCAAGUGUAGCGAGAGAAAUCAUCUAUAAAAAUAAUAUAGUAGCGAUGGCCCCCUUUGGAAGAGAAGGGAGCCGGACCCCACACAUCUGAAUGUACUAAAUCAAAAGGGCGCUGCGACACUGACUCGCUAGUAGGAUAAGGUAACUGAACUUGUUUACCAAGCCUACAACCCUGGCAUUGUAAGGAGACAUCUCCUGAGACAGGCCCCAGAAGACCACGACGAACUAAAGACCAUAGUCGAGAACCACAAAGGUGACCAAGUCGAUGAUGCCAUUGCUGGAAGGAGCUGGUAGUUGAAGCGGCAAAGGCAGAUGGACUGGCGAGUGUGGUGGUAGCGGAAGGAACAUUAAGCCAGUCCAACUCCCAAAGCCCUUGAGAAUCACGGUAGCGCGGGCCAGCCCCAACCAGAGCCUUCGUGUGACGAUCCUGGAUAGUGCAAGAAUCAACGUCAAGAAUGACACGACAACCAGAAUCAGUAAGCCGACCCGCAGAAAAUAGGUUCAUGGUAAGGCGAGGCACGUGAGAAACAUCUGGAACAUAAAAGGAAGAAGUGGCAAGAGUGCCUCGACUCGCAACAGGAAUUGGAGUACCAUCAGCAGUAAGAACAUUAAUUGGAAAAUCGAGAGAUCUACGAGAGGACAAGAUAGAAGAAUCGGAGGACAUAUGAAAUGAAGCUCCAGAAUCCAGAACCCAUGAGGAUGUACCUGACUGUGUAGACAGUGGUCGCUCAGCACUAGAAGCACCAGUCACAGAGCCUGCAGUACCUGUCGAAGAACCUGAAGCAGCAAGUAGACGCUUGAGCUUCACAAUAUCUUGCUCAGUCAAGGAGACAGUAGACGGCGUCGAGGAAGAAGCACGAGUUCCAAAAGAAGAAUUGCGCUCCCUAUUACGCAUACCACGCUUCUUCUUGAAGCAGUCAGACUCGGGGUGACCAUCCCUGUUGCAGUAGUCACAAUGAGUACGAGGACGAGAGCGGCCUUCACGAGAGCGGGCCUCACUACCCGGAGGAGUGGGCAGUAGCGGCGGAGCACUGGAGUGAGAAGACAUUGGUGGAGUAGCACCUCAAGCAGAGAGCACAGAGGGAACCUGAAGCAAACCAGCACCACGGAGGUGAGUCUCCUCAGCACGAAGCUCAGAAAGCACCUCAGAAAUAGGAACCCGGCCACGGGCAAACAACUGAGCACGUCGAGGCUCAAACUCCCCACGGAGCCGUGACAAGAACUCAUAGACGCGCUGAAACUCCAAGUCUGACCUCACAGUCUGGCAACACGGGCAAGUGCCACAAACAAUAGUGCGAAGGGAGUCAAGCUGGCGCCAUAUAGCAGAACUCUGAGUGUAGAACUCAUCAAUAGUGGAGUCUUCCUGCUGAAGAGCAUGCUCCUGACGGACCACAGACAAGUAGAGAGCAUCACCAGAGGGCUGAUAGCGCUGACGAAGAUGAGUCCACAUCUCAAAGACAGUACUGAGGCCUAUAAAUUCAGAAGCAAACUGAGGCAAAACACUGGAAGUGAGAACAGUCGCAGCACGAGCAUCAUCAUCACACCACUGAGUGUAAGCAGCCAGAUCGUCACGAUAAACAGAAAGAGCAUUUGAAUAAUCCAAGACCUCCUGGUCAUAAGCGGCAUCCGCAUCAUCAGCAGCAACCCUGGCUGCAGCCCUAUCAGCAUCAGAAGCAUCUGCGUCAAUAGCCGGUGGUGUCGGCGGUGGGGUAGGAGCCACAGGAGGCACUGGGCGCGGAGGACAGGGGACCUCACCGAAAAGAACACCCCAGAGACGAAUGUCACGCAUGUGAAUGCGCAUAAAGGCAACGAACUCAGCAUAGUUAGCCCCAUCAAAUAUCACUGGGCAGCGCGGGAUGGCAACAUAGCCAGAUGACGCCAAAGACAUGGUGCUCUUUUUUUUUUGAGAAUAGCAAAGAUCACCCAAGACUCAACUGGCCAAGAUGAGAGCGGCCAGAACCAGCAGCAGAUCAAUCAAACGAAAAGCCAGCCGAACAAGGAUCAAAUCGGUUUGACAGAGUUGCGAUCUGGAGCAGUAGACACCCGGACAAGAAACAGCAGCAGCCACUCACGUGACCACGCGAGCGCCCUGCAGGCAGCUGCGGAAGACAGCAGCGUCGCGGACGGGCCGGCGGCCGGUGGCAGCGGCGCAGAUGGGGCGGCGACCGGUGGCGCCGAAGAAGACAACAGUGAUGCAGACGAGGCCGGCGGUCGGGCGGGGACGGAGCGGUUGACCUCCGAUAGCUGCUGCCUCUGCUCGAUCGAGAGAUGAACCGACAGGCGGCUCGAGCAGGCUGCAGCGACGGGCCGGCCUGCAGACGGCAGCAGCGGCGCCGACGAGGACGGCGGCCGGCAGCCGUGGAAGGCAACAGCGCCGCUGACGAGGCCGGCGGCCGGCAGCCACGGAGGAAGACAAACGGCCGGCGGCGACCUUGGAUGAAGACAAGCGGCCAGCGGCUCAAUCGAUCGGGAUGAAAUCCGAUAUAGAAUCCAACACAGCGAUGGAUCAGCUAGCUAGCAUGGACGUGAAGCGCCUGUAGCUGGAGAUGGACAUAGGCAAAAGCAAAAUCACGGACCGGCAGAACAGAGAGCAACGGCGGCCGUGCAGAAGAUUGGACUGGAAGCAGCACGAGUUGCGCGUGUGGAAAAAAAAACCUAGAGCUCUAAUACCAUGUUAUGAAAGCAACUUAUAUUAUUAGGAGGCCAAUGCCAACAUAUAUACAUAUACAUGAGGAUGCCAAAAGGCUACAAGAGGAUGCCAAGAGACUAGAAUGCAAAAGGCCAAAAGACAUCACUUAAUAUAACUCUAACAAAAAUUACUGACUGGUUGUCCACUUGUCGCCAUGGUUGCUUGUAAGUAAAGUAAGAUGGAAAGAUGAAUCAAUCCAUGUGAAUCGUGACCGAUUGAUGGAUUCAGUGCGUCUAUGCGACGGGACAGAGUAUUGCUUUGUGCAUGCAUGGAGGAUGCCCUAGCCCUAUUGGUUGUGUCGUUGGUUAGUGGGUGUCAAGGCAUGGAUAGAUCGGGGGUUGAGAGGGACGUGCAUGUGGUGUUGUGGGGGGAGGAAAGAGAGAUGAUUCAUCGGCCAUGAGAGACCGAUGGAGUGCAUGGGGACUCGGUGUCCCCGCCCGGGUUUCCUGCCGGGCUGGGCUUGCUUGGCGUCGCAGCAUGUCUCUGUCUCUCGCACGGAACACACAGUUUUAUUACUCCAAUCAUACAUACUCCCUCCUUUCCGGUUUAUCAUGUGUUGAUCAAGUACUCCCUCCGGCCCCAAAUAGGGAGUGUACAGGAUCAUGUGCUUGUUUGGGCCGUCGGCAUUGUUUUGGCCGUCGGGGUAUGGCCCUGUUCCGGUAGUGAAUACGUCCGCGCUGGCGUAACAUUUUGCAAAGCGAUUCGAAGGGUUUCCUCGUACUUCCAUUCUUCGGCGGCGUGUUCCAGUAAAGCUGAUCCUGGCAGUUGGUAGGACAUCGGCAACGGCGCUGUGCGUGCAUGUCUCACCGGUCGGCAGCGCGACGUGGACGGCGGCGAGCCUUAACUACGGGAGGUGAGGAGGCUGGAGGGCCGGGAUCACCGACCGCCCACUUGGUGGGCGGCGGACCUGGCCCCAUGCCCAUGCUCUCUCACUAUCGGCGGCCCUGGAUCGGAGGGCUGGAGUGAGGCCCGUGCGCGUCUCGUGAGGCCUUCGUGCCUGACUCAGGCCCGAUCAAUUGAUUUUAAUGCAAAAAUAGAUUAACCUUUCCUUGCUUAAAAAACAACAACAAUUGGUUCCUCUCUUCUGAAGAACUCAUCACAGUCAAAUUUCUGAUAAAUACUUUAUUGAAUCUUUUGCAUGAACUAGACAGAUCCAUGGCGCGCAUGUAUCUUAGCCUAUCUUACACGCAUCGUUUUAUUGUUUCUACGUCGUUUAAUUAGAGCAGCAGCACGAACCACCAUUGUCUGGUUUACAGUGGCUCUUUUUGAAUUCGAAAAACGAGCAGUGGUUCCUGCACGCCUCCUCGGAUUCAUGGCCUUUCUCACAGCUUGCAAAACGCACACACAAGUCCAAGGGGAUUGGUUUUGUUGAACCUGUGCACGAGAAAGUAUAGCAGCGUCAGCAUACAUAAAUUACGUAAGUUACAUGGGUUAGGCUGAAUUACACAUGCAAAAUAUAUAGACAAACGACUGUAGUACCUGCAUGGCAUGAUAAUAGGGUGGUAGACAUCAUCACAAGAGCUACCAAGAGUAGGGCUCUUGUGUUGUUCUUGAUAAGUUCCAUGAGGAAUCGUUUCUUGUUUCUUUAUUUCUACGUAUGUAUCUCCAGGUAUCCUUGUAGUUUGUACUUGUCAGCCUAUGCCUUCUGUGUUGGUGUUUAUAUAAGCAUGAGCAGACCUGGGAGGAUCAGUUCUUGCCCUUCUACUUUUGGCUGGAGUUGAUUAGUACAUAUAAAACUGAAUAGAUGUAUACCAAAGUAUUUUUUGUUAAACAAGGAUAUGUACCAAAGUAUAUCUUGUGCAUAAGUUGUUAUUAAUUGGUUCUUAAGUUUUGAUAUUUGAAAUUAUUUGGUGCUUUAAAAUGACAUACAUAUCACACAGUAAAAAUUAUCUUCGACAUAGCUUGUUAUCUUCUUAAAAAUGGUGGAUUAUUAUUUGCUCUGAAUAUUGGCGAAUGUAAUUAAUUGAUGUUAAGUUCUCUUAAAGUAUAUGAUCUAGAAUCUCCUUUUACUGAUAGGAUCUCAGCUUUUUUAGUAUUGAUCAUUGAUAUUUGAAAUAUUUGACAUGACAAAUAAAAUAUUUUUUGAGGCUACGUGAUAAUAUCAAUAGUAUGUUAUUCGAAUAAGAACAACUAAUUAUUAAUCUAUGUGGAGUGUGCUAGGUCUAAUGCCAAAGCAGACCAUGCACUCCGCAUGUUAAGAUAUGUCUGCAACGCUCGUGGAUACACUUUAUCGGUGUGUAGCAUCCCAAUGUAGUUUCAAGAAAUUCAGUAAAUUCAAUACUGCAACCAAUGCACAUGCCUGACUAGUGUUUAUUUUUUAGGCUACAAGAUCCCGCAACACAGGGAGAAAAGCAGCAACACUACUUGGGUGUGGCCUAUAAGGUCAGAUGCCUCUAACCAAACCGGUAGAUUGAAUGUCUAUAGAGUUCUAGUGCAUAUGUCCACAUGGCACAAAUCAUCCUUCAUCAGAUUAUCCCCCUUAGAAAUCUAUAUAUAGGCAUGAACAUUCUCAAGAAAAUCACUGUCAGAUAUAUAGAAUACAUACAAAUGAAUUUUGUACCAAAGUGCUGAUACAAUAUAUUGUGAUGUACAAUAUGAUGACAACAAUACACGUGUUCUUAUUACAACAUCAUAAAUGGACAUAAAUUAUAUUGACCACUCAGGAGACUGAGAGAUUAUUCAUAGUCUCCAAACAUGUCGGCUGAGGCAUAUUCAACCAUCAAGUUCUUCGUGCCCAUAUGGUCCCCUCAUCAAGUUCUUCGCGGUGCAGCUACCCCUGUCAAGUAAUCCGUAUCCAGAAAAAUUGGCCGGUGAUCAGAGUUGCCCAUAUCAAGGUUAGACAGCCCACACAAUGGGUGUAGUUUCAUCCAUUCAGCGUUCGAAACAGCCCGGUCCAGCCGUUCCCUCAAUCCUCCUCUAAAGAACGUGAAUUUGUCACCAUGGUAGCCAAUAUCUUCUAGUGAGCAAUCUGAGAGUGCAUCCUGGAAUGCCUGAAGCCGAACUUGUUGUCGUGGUGCUCCUCCUUCCUUUUCAGACGAGAAUAAGAUCUCGUUAAAAUCACCAAUCGCAACCCAUGGAAGUCUAGACUGAGCAUGCAAAUCACGAAGGAGUUGAUACGUUCUCUCCUUAUUAUCCCAGUUUGGCUCGCCGUACACACAUGAUAACCUCCACUCUUUCCCAUCCAGUUCCUCCACCGCCACAUCAAUGCAACUAAAGGUAGUAGUCCGGGAGUAGAUCCUAACCUCCUUCUUCCAGACUAGUAACAAUCCACCCUUUCUGCCAUCAAGACUUGGUGCCACAAUUUUAUAAUCCAUCCCCAUCUUCCUCAUCAGAACCUCUGCCUUAUCCUCGUCCAGGUGCGUCUCGUACAAAAAAAACGCAUCUGGAUUAUGUUGCCUCUGGAUGGCCAGAAGCGAGCGAACUGUCGGGGCACCGAGGAGACCCCGACAGUUCCAACUUAUGAGUUUCAUUGUUCCCGGCGACCCUCCCCGGAGGAGGACGCCGAUAUAUCAUUUGUUACCGCUGAAGAUCCCGCCUUCAACCUUUUAUUGUCAUGAAUUCUCUGGCCGAUAUUGCAAACUGUCGUUCCCAUUCGAAUCACCGAUCCAAUGACGUCAACAUGACCUUCAUCCUUACGUAUACAGCAGGGGUCUCUCACCAUACACAAAGACAACGAGGAUCGGAGUUGGACUCCAUCCAGACAGGAGACACGAGCAAGAUCGGCCUCUCCAGGAACGCCCAAGCCACCGCGACUAGACGUUAGACUUCCACGACACGUGAAACGCACCUCAGACGAUCAACAUGGGGAGAAGAAUACGUGGAUCAGACGCGUCGACAGAGGUGGACGCCGGCGCCGAACCGGUGCCGGCGGCAGCGAGGACGUUAACCCUAGGCGGCACUUGGGGUUGAAGUCCGUGCCCUAGCUCUCUCUCGGCGAAGGAAGGGGAGGGGUUGUUGGUUGGGCGUGGGAUUCCGGCUAGCCCCGGUGUUGCUCUCCCGUAGCAGCAGCGUGGGGGUCCCGUGUGCAUCGAGGAGAAAAGAGGAACGAAUCUUACAGUUGAUAUUGUUCGAAACGGAGGGCUGGGGCGCGACCGGCCCAAAUUUGGGCCGGCGCGCCGGCGCAGAUCAUUGCCCUAUCUUUUUUGGUCGAUGAUAUAGCCCUCAUCGGCUUAGAGCACAACCUAGUCCCCUAAUUUGGAGUUCGAUGCGCCCACGGGCUCGAAUGGGCAGGCCUGCGCUUAGUGGACGGGCACACUCCAUUUGCACAGCGGCAUUCCGUAUAUGCCCGCACCUAAAUCCAUACAAAAACUGAAAAACAUACACACUGAAUAGAUCAUCGAUACAUCUUAUGAACACAACAAUGGGACACAGAUAGAGUACAACUCGAUCCAAAAAAGCCGACGGAGUUCAUCACUUAACAAAAAUGCAAGAUUAGAAAGUAAUUAAACCUAGAGAGACAGGCGGAGAAACCUAGAGCGUUGUUUUAUGUCUUGCCAGUGUCCGAGGAGAAGGAGGAACCGAUGAUCCCCACCAUGCGAUGAGUGGCUUGGACCUCCACCCUUGCGAGCCAUGCGGUUCUCUCCGCAGCCGCCAUCGCCCUCUACCUCACCAACCUCUUGGACUCCUCAAGCCCCAUCUGAAGAGCCGCCGCAUUUUUGUCGCCCCAUCGGCGGGCGUUCGUCACCGCAGAGGUGUAGGAGCGACGGAUUGCGUAGCGCCACGUCUCCAUCGAAGGCGGGUGGGAGCAGCUUCAGCACCGAUCUGCAAGACGUGUAGUCGGAGCGGCCCGACGUGGCAUACACCGCCCUAAUUGUGCACCGAGAAGCGCAACCCUUGGCCUCCAGCAACCGAUGUCACGGCCGCGAACUCGGUGAUGCGAGCACUAGCACCCAACGACACCCAGGGGGAGGAGGUGCUGGCGGGGAUGGCCCGGACAACGUUGCGCAGCGCAGAGCGACAACUGCCCUCUCCUACCGCCGGUGUCCUCGAGGACAAGCUCCUGCCUCGAUCCAUCCGCGAGUUGCGGGGGGAAUGCGGAGCACGAGCGCCUCGUCGUUUGGCGUGAACGAGCUCAAGGACUCCGCGACGAGCUUAGCCCAGUUAAUGGAGUCAUCACCGCUGUCGGAUCUGCUUCUGGCUAUUGCAGAGAAAAGGGGAGAGGCCGGGGAGAGCAAGGGGAAGGGGAUGUGAGUGGAGCGGAGAAAUUGAGAGAGUGCGGUUGACUAGGGUUCGUCGUUCAGCUGAGGUAUUUGUGGGGAUAAGUUUUUUCUUUUUCUUUUAGGGGUGUAGCUAAGUUUUAUUGAUCAUAGACCACUUGAAGUGAUAUACAAAAGGAUCAUGAAGAUGGAUCAGCCAAAGGUAUCCAUAGUGGGCCGAUGCGACGUGGAGGCGGUGUCUAUUUAACGUGUUCUGCGUCAAAUAGGCUCGCAACCCACACACACAACUCCGACUGGCCGGCCCAUUGGCGAGCGCGGCAGUCCGCCCCUGUGCUGGUACGGUGCGACAUAAAAAUUCUUCAAAAAAGAAUGAACACUGAAAGUUGUGGAACUGCUAUCGUCUCGCUUAUGAACUGGCAUUGCCAGCCAGUUGAGCUCACCAGGGCACGUUACAAACCAAACGGACAGCGUGACGUUUUAAGAGAGAACUGCAAUGGCGGAUCCGAACACUUUCUAUAAAUUUUUGAACGUUUUUCGGAAAUAGAAAUCCUAUUCCUACAGACAAGUUUUACAAAAACUUCAUGUCGUGUGUGUGGAGAUAACCACAAAUUUGGAGACUACUUUUAUGAACCUUUUUUGGAAUGACACUUUUUAUAUUUUUAUUUGUUUUAGAAAAACGUGAACAUUUUUUAACUUAGUACAAAUUUGAAAAGAGGAACAUUUUUCUGACAAAGGCAAAAAAAAAUUAAACACAAAUAAUAUUUGAUCUUAUGAACAAAAUUUGAAAACAGGAACAUUUUGUGAAAUUAUGAAUAAUUUUUGAAAUUUUGAACAAUAUGUGAAAUUCCCGAACAUUAAAAAAGAAAAAGAAACAUGACAUGCCGAACGUCUGCGCCGGUUGGGUGGACAGGCUGCCAGGCGUUUUACGGUGGAUAUGAGCAGGGUUUACACUAGACUUUGGGUGUUUAGUCUAGGGGUAGGUGUAAUCGGCAAUUUCCUUGGAGCAUCAGCCAUUAUCUUCAAACAUAUCAAAGAUCCUUCUACUCUAGAAGCAUUGGCAGUACGGGAAGGCCUCGAUCUAGCAGCUGAUCUAAACAUCACAAAGGCACAUGUUGCUACAGAUUGCAAGGCUGUUGCAAGUGAGAUUGGCAGGAGAAGCACUUCGGCUUAUGGGCCUGUGGUUAGAGAAAUUGAGUUGCAAGCGUCCUUUUUCAUUUCAUGUAAAGUAGUUUAUCAGUCUAGGAGCUCGAAUUACGAUGCUCACAACUUAGCAAAGCAUGCUCUAACUCUGAGUGUUGGUCGUCAUGUUUGGUUAGGCCAGCGUGAAGGCAUUUUAUUCGUCUCUGUAAACAUUGUGACGACGUAAUAAAGCUUUGCGAGGUUGUCUUAAAAAAAAAUUUGUUUCUCGCAGUUCUCAAAAAAGAAAAGAUGUUUCUCGCAACGCCGAGCAUGCUCGCGGCACCAACCGCGGGCCACUCUCGAAUUCUCUAUCAACUCUGGAGGAGUCGCCUGACACAUCCAGAGAUCACUACACACCCAUUUCUCUUAUAAAGGCGCACAUCCAUGCACGUAGUACAUCGCCUCACACAGUCACACUCACACUCACACAUACGGCUAUUAGGGAUUGCGAACGAGCAAGUCAAUACGAGAGCGCACAGCGCAGCGAGCAGAUCAACUAAGUGAGCAGCGAGCGAAUGGCUCUGGCGCGGUGCAGCGGCGUGCUGGGCAACCCGCUGUCGGUGGACUUCUGGGCGGACGCGGACCCUUUCGGCGGCGCCGUCCGCGCCCUGGCCGAGCGCUGCCCCGAGCUCACGAACGUCCGCGUCGACUGGAAGGAGACGCCAGCCGCGCACGUCUUCACGGCCGACCUCCCCGGCGUCCGGAAGGGCGACGCCAAGGUGGAAGUCGUGGACGGCGACGUGCUGGUCAUCAGCGGCCAGCGCGCCAAGGAGGAGGAGGAGGGUGGCGGCAAGGACGAGCGGUGGCACCGGGUGGAGCGCAGCAGCGGCGGGUUCGAGAGGAGGUUCCGUCUGCCGGGGGGCGUGAGGGUAGACGGGGUGAGCGCGUCCAUGGAGGACGGCGUGCUGACGGUCACCGUGCCCAAGGAGGAAGAGGCCAAGAAGCCGCAGGUCAAGGCCGUGGAGAUCCAAGGCUGCUGAGACCACAAGGGUCAUGGUUGGUUAGUCUCAAAAAAAAGGGAUAUACAUGGUCGAACUAUAUGCAUAUGGCUACACACGACCUACGUACGUGCUGUUACACCUAUGUUGUUUGCUAGGUGAGCGUGCUCAGUGUACUUGUGUGGGAUGUGAUUGCGAUAAUUCGAGCGAGAUAUUGUACUCUAAGUUUUGUAACAUGCAUGGGUUGCCACCUUUGGUUUUUGUCGCGAACGAAUACUCCCUCCAUUCACAAGUAUGCAAUGUUGGGGAUAUUUUAAUAUGAAUUACAUAAAGACUUAAAUGAGUGGAGAAACACGCUAAGGGCUCAUUUGAUUCAAAGGAAUUGCAUAGGAUUUUUAGAGGAUUUGAACCCUUAGAAAUUUUUCCUGUAAUGCUUGUUUGAUUCGUAAGAUUGGCGUCCUUAGGAAUUUUUCCAUAGUAUCCAUUUGUACUACAUUUUGAAGGAAAAAUUCCAUCCACUCAAACCUCUUUGUAGAAUUUCUUUGUUUUUCCUGUGCUAUCAAACAUUCUUUCAAAUCCUGUAGGAUAUUAUAGGACAUGCCAUCAUAUUCCUACAUUUUUCUUAUUCCUUCAUUUUGACAAUCCUGCGAAUCAAAGAGACCCUAAAACGUGUCUAUAUACAUUUCAUUCAACAAAAACUUAAAACAUCUUAUAUCUUUUAACAGAGUGAGUAGAGGAUAGUACCAUUCCCAAUCUUAAAAUCGAUCAUAAAUGGCAAUAUGCUUAUCAUCUUUUAUUUUAGGCCACCCCAUCUCUGGAUUAAAGAUUAGCCCACAAUGACGGCCAAUUUUUUAUCUAUUUACGCACCUUCACUCAGAAGUAGCGCCUUAGGGCAUCUACAACAGUAGAUACUCCGUUUCUUUUAGUCUGCACCAUGAAACAUCAACUGUAAAUAUCAACAUUCACGAUAUGAAAUCAACAUUUUCAAAUCCAUCAUGAAAUGUAUUUUCAUAUUAUAUAGUUUAAGUAUUGUAGAUGUUCAUAUUUUUUAAUAUAAAUUUGGUCAAACUUUGUGUAGUUUGACUUUGACCAAAAUUUAUAGACGGAGUAAAAAGAAACGGAGGGAGUACCUAACUAGGCGCUUAGGCCAACUUCUAGGCGCUUAGGCCAACUUCAUCGCGCGACCCCAAACGGACGUCCGUUUUGUUCGGAUUUUGUCCGUUUGGGCAGCGGGAUGGGGUCGUGUCCGGGCCUGUCUGGGGAUGCGGUGGCCGUGCGUCCAGCGGGCGCUCGCAUCAUUUACCCCAUCUUGUCCGCGUUUAUGUAAAAAAAGGAAGAAACGUGUCAAAUGCCAAAGCCCUACGGCCGCAGUUCAUCACGCACGCCGGCAACAAAGCCAGCGGCCUACACGUCCAUCGCCGGCAUUAGCCAGCGGCCGGCAACACAGGCCGACCUCCAAAAUGAAUGGUUGUCCUCGCCGGUAACACAGCCAGCGGCCGGCAACACAGCCGGCCUUCAAAAUGAAUGUUUUUCUCGCCGGCACAUGGCCAGCGGCCCAGCGGGCGGGCGGCACCAUGUCAGCCUUCAAAAAAGAACGGCCACGGCCGAUCGAACGACUUAGUUCAGGCCGUCGGCGUCGAGCAUCUCCUUCUGCCUGGCCUCGAACCAGGCCCUCGUCUUCUCGCUCAUCUUCGACAAGUCCACGCUCAUGAUCGCCAGGGCCACCUCUUUCGCUUUGGUGGCGGCAUUGGUGGCCUCGAUGUCGAGCUGUUUUUGCCUGGCCUUGACGUUGUCGGCCUCGAUGUCGAGCUGCCGUUGCCGGGCCGCCUCUUGCGGGAGUGAAAAGGGCUAGGCGUUUGAUGCCUGCCUUUGCGCCGAUGCAGCGUCCGAUGCCGGGGUUACUGGGCCUAACUGCCACUCAGUGGGAAAAUUGGUAGGAAAUCGAUCCUGCGCCUCCCUAAGCAUCCUACGUUGUAGGUACCCUUAGAAAUGAUGGUUGUGAAUUCAUAAAAUGUUCACAAAUAAAAAAAUGUUCGAGUAUUGAAAGAACCUUCGAGAAAUUAAUAAAGAUUUUAAAGUAAUGUUUAAAUAUGCAAAACUCACGAAGUUGGAAAGAGCACAAGUUAAAAAAAUUCACAUUUUCUUAAAAGGAUCAUGAUUUUAAAGUGUUCCGAAUUCAAUAAAUUUCCAUGAUUUCUAAAAAUAUUUGUGAAUUUGAAAAAUGUUCAUGAAUUGAAAAAAAUCGCGAAUUUUACGAAUCUUCCGAAUCUAAAAAAAAUCAUGAAUUUGAAAAGAAACAAGGGUUGAAAAAUGUUGACAAUUUUUUUGGAAAAAAAUUAAAGGGACGUGAAAACUAAAAAAGAACAACUGAAUAAAUAACAGGUUUUUUAGACAAAUACAAAACCAGCUGAAAAACCCUAAAACGAUAGUAGUGAGAAACAACAUGGGCUGGCCGCUGGGCCAGGUUCGCUGGAGGCCACAGCCUCGUUUUUUUUUUGCUCGCUUAUUUUUUACUUUUAUUUUAUUGUAUUUAAAUUUAAAAAAUUAAAAAUUAAAAAUAUAUUACAUAAAAUGUUUACAUUGAAAAUUUAAUAAAAAUGUAAACCAAGCAUUUAAAAAAUGUUGAAUUUGUAUACAGAAAAUCUUUCUGUGUAUACCAAAAAUGUAUACAAAACAAUAUACAAUGUGUGAAAAUUUUGAUCAUGUACUUAUAAAAUAUCAAGUAUUUAACAAAAUUAGCAAGCAUUUGAAAAUAUUAAAUAUGUAUAGGAAAAACGUUGAACAUGUUGACAAAAAUAUUAUUCUUGCAUUUGAAAAAUACUAGGCUUGCAUUUGGAAAAAAAUCAAGCAUUUGAAUUUUUUUUAAUGCGGAUAGAGAAAACGUUGACCAUGUAUUAAUAAAAUGUUGAUCUUGUAUUUAAAAAAUAUAAAUUAAGCAUUUGCAAAAGAAUGUUAACUGUGUAUAGGAAAAAUGUUGACAAAGUAAUAAAAAUGGUAAACUUGUAUUUUAUAGAUGCUAAUCAAAGCAUUUGAAAACUUUUCAAAAUGUGCAUAGAAAAAAAGGUUGAAACUAUAUUAAAAAAUUAAUCUUGUAUUUGAAAAAGGUUGGAAAUCUGAACAGAAAAAUAUUGACCGUGUACUAAAAAAUAUUAAACUUGUAUUUAACAAAAAUGCUAAACGAGUAUUAGAAAAAGUUCAUGCCGUAUACGAAAACAUAUAGAAAAUGAUGAAAACCAAGAAAAGAAACUUAAGAAAAUCAAAGCAUAAUGAAGAAAACCAGUUAAAAAAACAAAGAAAAACAGGAAACUGAAAAAAACGGCCUGUUUAACCUUUUUCUUUUCUGACCUGAGAAAAAGUCAACCCAUUGUGUGAUUGAAAACCGCAACCUGCUCGAUCAGUGUAAGCCAACUAGACACCACAACUUGAAUGAUUGCUUACAUCUUUUUUCGUCUUUUCCUUUUUCCUCUUUUCUUUUUUCUUUUUUCUCUAUUCAUGUUUUCCUUUUCUUCCGUUCAAAUUCGUGAUGUUUUUUAUCAAAAUUGGUAAAAUUUUUCAAAUUCAUAAACUUUUUAUAAAAUCCGGUGAACUUUUUUUCAGAAGUGAUGAAGUUUUUUCCGAUCCGCGAACUUUUUUUUAGAAAAUCCGUGUUUUUUUCCCAAAAUCAAUAAAAAUUUCAGUUCGGUGCACUUUUUAUUAUCGAAAUUGAUGUUUUUUUCUAAUCAAUAAGCCUUGUUUUUUUCGGAAUCCGGCAAACUAUUUUUGAAUUCAUGAACUUGUAUUAUCAUAAAUUGAUGAACUUUUUUUCGAACCCUUGAUGUAUUUCUCAAAAUUUGUGAACUUUUUCUCAAAAUUGUUGAACUUUUCUUAAAUAUAUAUUUUUUGAAAUCAAUGCCAUUUUUCAAAUCCAUGAACUUUUCCAAAUGUCUUUGAAAGAUUUUUAUUCAAAAAAAAAUGGCCACCGGUUUUUCAAUAAACAACACAGUUGAAGAGAAAUCUGGAAAAAACAAUUACAGACGCGCGAGCUAGCUGUCGGAAUAAUGGGCCACGGGUAGGCCAACUCGUGGCCCAGGACCUUUCAAGACAUCGGGGCAGGCCGCGCCCCUCAUGUCGAGUCCCUGGGACGACUCCAAGAUAUGACGAGUCCCAGGGACGACUUCAAGUUAUGCCGAGUCCCAGGCGGCGACUCCGCGACAAGCCGAGUCCCAGAUGGCGACUCCAAGACAAGCCGACUCCUGGCCGGCAACCUCGAGAGAGGCUGGCUAUGGAGAGUCGGCCCACGACUCCACCUACAUCUCGAAGGAUGAGGCGGGGUACGGCCACGGCAUGGCAGUCCCCCCCCCUUUGCUUACGACGAGCCGGCAUGGCUACAGUGAGCCGUACCGCUGGAGAUCUCCGGCGAGACGCGGCACUGUGGCCAUGCCUGCCCUGACCUCAGCGACAGUAGGCGGCGCACUGUGCCCACGACGCCGGCCUGUACGACCCAAGGGCGGCUGGGCCGCCCGUUAGUGGGUAGACCGAAGACAGCAUGAGUGCCCUGAAGACGGACCGGAGGGAGUCGGCCCCCUGGAGUCGGCCGACCCCUCCCCCGGGCCCCGCACGCCAUUAACCAGAUAAGAUGGGGAGUGGCGACAGUGAACGCACGCCAGGCGGCGGCGCUGUAGCCAUGACCGCAUGACCAAGCCAGCGUCAUCAGGAGUACCGCUACAGUCUCACGCCUGUCCGUGGGGCCCGCCAGUCGGCGGGCCCCAGUAGUCGGAAGGAAGGACGACGACCUGAGAGACAGACGGCUGGGACCCGUUCCCAGCCGGAUUACUAUUGUACCCCUGGGGGUAGGCCUAUAUAAACCCCCCGGGAAGCCCAUGCAAAGGGUUCGGACCCAGAUAUGAAUAGACCUUAUAUCACAAGAAGGAGAAGCUAGCCUAGCCUUCUCCUACCUCCAGAAACAGCUCCAGGAGCACCAUUAUAACCACUUUGCCAUAGUGACCAUGCGGAGACCCCGCAGAGCAGCAGUAGGGGUGUUAUCUCCUCGGAGAGCCCUGAAGCUGGGUAAGUUCCGCCGGCGUGCAUGUCUUCGCCUCAUCCCGCUUCCGGGCACCAGCGACGUUGUACUCGCUCCCACCAUGAUAAGCCAUCCUUUGGCAUAUGUCGUACCCAACCCCCGACAUUUGGGGCCCACCGUGGGGCGAGGUGCACCGUCGUCCGAAGAUCUGCUUUGGACGGGAACCCUUUUCCUCCCUGGCGAGUGCAGCCAGCCCGGCACGUCAGAUGGAGUUUGCGCCGACGCGCUGCGCGGCGCUGAUAUUGCCUGCGGGGCCAGCAGCCUCGCCGAGCUUAUUGGCGAGGUUGGCCUCUCCGACGAGCCUGCGUUCGACGCAGGCACGAGCGGCCCCGAGAGCCUCCUCGCGGGUCUCCUCGACCAACUCCACGUCGCCGGCGAGCCUGCCAUGGACCUGGAGUCCAUAGGAUCCAUCGACCCGAUGCUGGUCGACUCCGACACCGCGUCGCUCGAUGCGUUUCCCACCAACAUGGUGGUCUACGACGAGCCGCUCCCUUACGCGGGGAGCGACGGAAGCACCAUCACGGAAGUUCUCGUCCUCGAUCACGGCGAGCGUUCUGGAGAAGGAGCGCACGACCCGCUCGACGCGGCUCUGCGAGACCUUACCGCGCCGAUUCCGGGAGACGCUGGAGGCACGCCGCCUUCAGCUUAUUGAGGGCGCGAAAAAAUUGGCAAGCAUGAGGCGCUUGUCAGAAGCGUACCAGCGCGAGAUGGAUCGCGCCGUGGGCGGCUCGCCGGCUCCGACUGGGCAUAGCCGCCUAGGCGCGGUCCGACAACGCGGCGUGGCAAUCGCCAAUCUAUUCGGGGCUGAUCGCCCUGUGUAUGCCACGCCCGCAGAGAACAUCCGCGCUGCCCAGGCGGCGGCAGACGAGCUCGACAACUUCGAGGGCGAAGAGCGCCGCGUGAUGACGGAGCGAGUUCAGCAGCUCCUCGACGCGUCCGCCGCGUAGAACGAGGCCGGCUGCCGCACAGAGGCGCCGCAGCGACAAAACGACGACCCGCCGCCCCGCCGAGACCAAGGCGCGACGUCCCGAACGCCGACUAGCGGGGCCCGUGGAAAGAAGGACAAGGAGCCGGCUGUCAGCCACAGUCGUACUCGCAUCACCAUCGAGCGCGACCAAGACGGCCGCCCCAAAGCGGUGGAACGGCGGGAUGACUAUCUGCCUCCCCCUCCACGCAGAGAAAGGCGUGUCUCCCCGCCGCCCGUGGAACAUCCGACUCUCGGCGACCGUCUCGGCCGCCGAGAGGGAGUCGGAGAAAACGACGCCCGCCACCGGAUCGACCGACUCCACCGGUCCCUGGCGCUGGAAGAAGAAGACGAGUUGGGUCCACCCUGCUUUGGGCCCGCAUCCGAGAUGAGCCCUUUCCCAAAGGGUUCACACUCCCCCGAGACACGCCCAAAUAUACCGGCACCGUGAAGCCGGAAGACUGGCUGAUCGAUUACUCCACAGCCGUCAAUAUAGCGAACGGCAACAAGCGUGUUGCCGUAAGAUAUGUCCCGCUCAUGCUCCAGGGAUCGGCCCGGACAUGGUUAAACAGUCUGAAGCCUCGCAGCAUCAAUAGCUGGGUCGACUUCACCGAGGCCUUCGUCCGCAACUUUACAAGCACGUACAAGCGACCUCCCAAGCCUCGCCAACUCUCCCUGUGCGUGCAAGGUCCCAACGAAUCCACUCGCGACUACCUCACGCGCUGGGGUGAGCUCCGGAACUCCUGCGAAGGCGUGCACGAGGUGCAGGCUAUCGAGUACUUUACUGCCAGGUGUAGAGAAGGCACCCUCCUCAAGCACAAGCUUCUACGCGAUGAGCCGGAGACCCUCGAUGAACUACUGAUCACGGCGGACAAGUACGCCACGGUCGACUCCUCCAUGAAGGCGGAGAUUCAAGUCAGCGCGACUGGCAAAGUCGCUCCUCAGGCUCCAAGAACUCCGGCUGGGGACUCCAGUCGGCAGCAACAGCAGAACGAUCACAAGCGCAAGGCCCCGCAGCCGGCCUCCAACAGCCGGCAAGUGGCGACAGUCGAAGACCAACAGCCGGAGGGACCGCCUCCGGCAAAGCGGCAGAGGGGCGGCAAGUCCAACUGGUUGCCGGCCUUCUCCUACGAGCAAACCCUGGAUGGCCCCUGCAAGUUCCACAGCGGCGCGAAGCCGUCAAACCACACCACCCAAAAAUGCCACUGGCUGACCAGAAUCGCCAAGGGAGACGGCCUACUCCCUCCCCCGCCUGCUGGGCCGCCCCCGCCACAGCCGCCCCAGCGGUCGGCUGUCAGGCCAGUCGGCGCGAUACAAGACGAGUUCCCAGAUGAGCACGGAGCCUAUGUGGUGUUCACCAGUGUGGCAGACGACCGGCACAGCAGGCGCCAACAGCAGCAAGAGGUGAACGCAGUCGCGUCAAGUACUCCAGAAUUCAUGCACUGGUCCGAGAGGCCCAUCAGUUGGAGCAGAGCCGAUCACCGAGAAGUGAUGCCGAGUCCGGGCUCCUACGCCUUGGUCUUAGGCGCCACACUCGCCACAGAUAGGCGGGCUGCUCGUUUCUCGCGAGUGCUGAUAGAUGGAGGCAGCAGUAUCAACAUCCUGUACAAGGAUACGAUGGAGAAGUUAGGAAUCAAGCGAAGACAACUUCAGAGUAGCCGGACUGUGUUCCACGGCAUUGUUCCUAGCCUUUCCUGCUCACCAAUCGGCAAGAUCCUGAUAGAUGUCCUCUUUGGGGACAAAGAUCAUUUCCGCCGAGAGCCAGUCUGGUUUGAAGUGGUGGACCUUGAGAGCCCGUACCAUGUGUUGCUUGGCCGACUAGCUCUGGCCAAGUUCAUGGCUGUCCCCCACUACGCCUACCUUAAAAUGAAGAUGUCAAGUUCCAAGGAAAUUCUGACCGUGGCCGGCGACUACAGAAAGUCGUACGCUUGUGCGGCUGAAAGCAGUCGGCUGGCCGAGUCCCUGGUGAUCGCAGCUGAGAAACGGCUUCUUGAUCGGGUCGUGGCGAUGGCCGGCAAGCAGCCCGAGUUAUCGCCCGACCCCAGUCAGAAGCAGAAGGAUCAUUCAAGCCGACCAAAGAAAUGAAGAAGAUACCUUUGGACCCGGAGCACCCAGAGAGGUACGCUGUCAUGGGCACAGGCCUUGACAGCAAAUAGGAAGGCGAGCUCGUCGAUUUCCUCCGUGAGAAUCGAGACAUCUUCGCAUGGUCCCCAAAAGACAUGCCUGGUAUACCGACGGAAUUCGCCGAGCACAAAUUACAUGUCCGAUCUGAUAUGAAGCCCGUCAGGAAGCCCUUGCGCCGCCUGUUAGAAGAAAAGGGAAGAGUUGUUGGAGAAGAAAUAGCCCGGCUCCUGGCGGCCGGCUUCAUCAUCGAAGUGUUUUUUCCAGAGUGGCUGGCAAACCCAGUACUGGUGCUGAAGAAGAACAAGCAGUGGCGGAUGUGUAUUGACUACACAAGCCUCAACAAAGCCUGCCCCAAGGACCCAUUUGCCCUGCCAAGAAUUGAUCAGGUGAUAGACUCCACAGCCGGAUGCGAGCUGUUGAGUUUCUUGGAUGCAUAUUCAGGGUAUCACCAGAUCAAGCUGAACCCGGCUGACAGACUAAAGACCGCCUUCAUCACGCCGUUUGGUGCCUUCUGCUACCUGACCAUGACGUUCGGCUUGAGGAAUGCCGGCGCCACCUUUCAGCGUUGCAUGUAGAAGUGCCUCCUCAAGCAACUCGGCAGAAAUGCCCACGUCUAUGUGGAUGAUGUGGUGGUGAAGACGGAAAAACGUGGAACUCUGUUGGAAGAUCUCAAGGAAACCUUUGAGAACCUGCGUCGAUUCCAGAUCAAGCUCAACCCCGAGAAAUGCGUAUUCGGAGUACCAGUCGGCCAGCUCCUCGGUUUCCUGGUCUCCGAACGCGGCAUAGAGUGCAAUCCUGUGAAGAUCAAGGCCAUCGAGAGGAUGGAAGCACCCAGACGACUGUUAGAUGUGCAAAAGUUCACCGGCUGUCUGGCGCCCAUCAGCCGAUUCAUCAGUCGGCUGGGCGAGAAGGCUCUCCCCUGUACCAGCUCAUGAAGAAGACAACCUUUUUUGAAUGGACUCCCAAGGCGGACGAAGCUUUUCUCCAGCUAAAGAAGAUGUUGACUACUCCCCCUGUGCUGGCGGCUGCGACUCCCAAAGAUCCCAUGCUCCUAUACAUUGCUGCCACCAGCCGGGUAGUCAGCACAGUCAUUAUAGUCGAGCGCAAGGAGGAAGGCAAGGCGCUACCUGUCCAGAGACCGGUAUAUUACCUGGACGAGGUACUGUCGGCCUCCAAGCAGAACUACCCCCACUACCAGAAGAUGUGCUACGGCGUGCAUUUUGCCGCCAAGAAAUUGAAGCCUUACUUCCAGGAGCAUCCAAUCACCAUGGUCUGCACAGCCCCACUAGCCGAGAUCAUCGGAAGCCGAGAUGCUUCUGGCCGAGUGGCCAAAUGGGCCAUUGACCUAGCUCCCUACACCAUCUACUACGAGCCCCGCACUGCCAUCAAGUCACAAGCGCUGGCCGACUUCCUCGUCGAUUGGGCCGAGACCCAGUAUCUACCGCCAGCGCCCGACUCCACCCAUUGGCGGAUGCACUUCGAUGGCUCCAAGAUGCGCACCGGCCUGGGAGCCGGCGUCGUCCUCACUUCCCCCAAGGGCGACAAGCUCAGAUAUGCGCUGCAGAUCCAUUUCGCCGCCUCCAACAACGUGGCCGAGUACGAAGCGCUCAUCCACGGGCUCCGGCUUGCCAAAGAGCUCGGCAUUCGCCGGAUCCUGUGUUAUGGCGACUCUGACUUGGUGGACCAGCAAUCAUCUGGCGAUUGGGACGCCAAGGACGCAAACAUGGCGAGCUACCGAUUCCUGGUGCAGCAACUCAGCGGAUACUUCGAGGGGUGCGAGUUCCUCCACGUGCCAAGAAACGACAACGACCAAGCAGACGCCUUGGCACGGAUCGGCUCCACUCGCCAAGCAAUACCAUCCGGCAUCGCCCUUCGGCGCCUCCUCAAGCCUUCUAUCAAGCCGUCACCAGAAUCAGAUACAAUCUUUGUGCCGACUCCACCUGAAGAAGUCGGAUCCGACUCCAAGAAAGACACAGUCGAAGCCGGCCCGGGGACUUCAGAACCCGGCCCGGGGACUGCGGUGGCAAGAUCGAAGACUCCCGAGGCCGGCCCGGGGACUGCUCCAGUCGACCCGGGGACUUCGUCAAGUCAGCAAGCGGCUGCGGACUCCAACCCGCCGCCUCCCAGCCCAGCCGCCCUUGUCCAAGUCGCACUGGUAGCAAUCAAAGAAAUAGCAACACCCUCAUGAGCCCAGCCCAUCCUCAAGUUCCUAGUAAACAGAGAGCUGCCAACUGAUGAAAUCUUAGCUCGGCAAGUGCAACACCGAGCAGCAGCUUAUACCAUAGUCAAUAGAGAGCUGGUCAGGCGCAGCGUCACUGGUGUCUACCAAUGCUGCGUCGAGGUAGAACAAGGCCAAGCAAUUCUCAGAGAUGUCCAUGAAGGCGAGUGCGGCCACCAUGCGGCCUCAAGGGCACUCGUUGCCAAAGCCUUCCGGCACGGUUUCUUCUGGCCAACUGCCCUGGAAGAGGCCAAAGAGUUAGUCCAAAAGUGCAAAGGGUGCCAGAUUUUCCGUUCCAAGCCACUUCAGCCAGCUUCGGCACUCAAGACUAUCCCCAUCACCUGGCCCUUUGCAGUCUGGGGCCUGGACAUGGUGGGACCAUUCAAGACGGCACGAGGUGGCUUGACUCAUCUACUUGUCGCAGUGGACAAGUUCACCAAGUGGGUAGAAGUGAAACCCAUCAAGAAGCUAAAUGGUCCGACUGCAGUGACCUUCAUCGCCGACAUCACGACUCGGUAUGGCAUCCCGCACAGCAUCAUCACCGACAAUGGCACAAAUUUUGCCAAAGGCGCCUUGGCCCGUUUCUGUGCGACGCAGGGCAUCCGACUGGACUUAGCGUCCGUUGCCCAUCCGCAGUCAAAUGGCCAGGUGGAGCGGGUAAAUGGCCUCAUCUUAUCCGGCAUCAAGCCUCGACUGGUCGUGCCGCUGGAGUGGUCGGCCGGCUGCUGGCUUGAGGAACUGCCGGCCGUCCUCUGGAGUCUGCGCACGACUCCAAACAAGUCAACCUGCUUCACACCCUUCUUCCUCGUCUACGGUGCCGAAGCCGUCAUCCCGACGGACAUAGAAUUCGACUCCCCGCGAGUCACCGUGUACACCGAGGAAGAAGCAGAAGAAGCACGUCAAGACGGCAUCGAUCUGCUGGAAGAGGGCCGGCUGUUGGCACUCAGCCGGUCCAGCAUCUACCAGCAGAGUCUGCGUCGAUACUACAACAGGAAGGUCAGGCCAAGAUCUUUUCAAGAGAGCGACCUUGUGCUCCGACCGAUCCAGCGAAUAGCCGGCCAGCACAAGCUGUUAGCGCCUUGGGAAGGCCCCUUCAUCAUCAGUAAGGUGCUGGGAAACGACUUCUACUACCUGAUCGAUGCUCAGAAGCCCCGAGCACACAAGAGGGACGACUCCGGCAAAGAGACAGAGCGCCCGUGGAAUGCAAAUCUUCUUCGAAGAUUUUACAGUUGAUGCAGUAUGUAUCACGCUACCCCUUUGUAUUAAAGUACUAAGACUUUGGGCCCCCCGAGACGAGCUCGGGGACUGCCCUUUUUUGUUAUCUGUAUGAUAAAAAUUGUGCCUUCGAGUAUGUUACUCUACUGUUAAAAGCCGCUUGGUACCGGGCCAGACUAGUCGGCCCGGGGACUCGCCGCCUCGCGCUAUGAGGAGCUUCCCGCAGUCAGACAAGUAGUGUGUGGUGCCUAGUCCAUCUCCUGACAAAGCCGCAGCUCGCAGAAGCGACUGUUUGGUGGCCAGGAGUGAGGAAGAACGGGUGCCCACACGAAAAAUGGCUAAGGACCCAAAGCACAAACAUAGCGUAAGACGGUUUCCAGCAUUUCUGAAGCAAAAAGCCGACUCAUGAGUAGUCGGCUUGCCGCUUCUAUUAGCCUUUAUCAAGGAUGGCCGACUCUUGGGUAGUCGGCCUGCCGCUUUCUAUCCGACUUGCUAAAAGAAACUCUAAAAUGGCCAAGUACUUGCCCUCCCAAAGUAGCCAAGCAUUUGACCCAGCGACAGUCUGCAGAGCGGCUGUCCGACUGGCAAGGCAGCGACUAAAGGAAGGCGGCAAAGGGAAAAGCCUAAAGAGCAGUAAGCAAGGAAAGAAAGAACUCGAAUAAAUAUUUACAUAGGCCCUUGGCCGAAUCUUUGAGUAGAAGUUCAAGAUACACCCUGCGGGUGGAACUGUUCGAAUUUAAGAAAGUUUUCCAAAAGAUUACUAAGACAGAUAAAGCAGAGGCAAAAACGGCAGCCUAGGAGGCGGCAUCUGGGAUCGGAGGAUCGGAGGAGACGGCGGUGUCAGGCGCCGGGGCGGUCGGCUGGGCGGUCUCGGUCUGAUCGCCUCCGGCGGCAGUCGCCUUCUCUCGACGCAGCUCGUUGCUGGAGGCGCAGUCGAGCUGAGGCUGGCCGCCCGCUCCGUCUUCUGGCACCUCCCUCUCGCCUUCGUCCUCCGCCUCGCCUUCCUCCUCGGUGCUGGAGUCAAUCACCUCAGCCGAGUCCUCGCCGAAGUCCGGGUUCAUCCUGAACCACUCUGGCGGCACCUCCUCGUCACCCGCAGCCCGCUCGGGGACGAAGACACUGGUGUCCGUGUAGUCGGCAAUCGCCGCCGCGCGUUCGACAAGGGCACCCUCCACUGCCACCAACUCUGCCUGGGCCUCUGAACGGAACGCGGCCAGCCGGUCCAGGUCCAGCCCCGGAUACCACGCCUUGACAAAUUCCAAGGCCCGGCGUGCCCCGGCCCGGGCCGAGGAACCCUUCCAAGCUUCAAGACGACGGACGGCGACCUCCAGCCAGUCGGCGGUCCGACUGGCGGUGCGCAGAGCCGGCAUGUCUGGCCACAGAGCGGCAACCGCCUGGGCGCUGGCACGCUGAAGCCGGCGCAUCAGCCGGUGGGCCAGACGAAGACGGGCUUCGAUGCUCAGAAGCUGAUCAUCGAUGGUUCGGGGGGCGUUAGGGGCGAUCUCUGCGCCGCUCGCCCUCCACAGCUCACGAUCAGCCUCGAUGGCCAGAGUGACUGCCUGCGAGUGGCCAGGGAAGAAGUCUGCCAAGACAAAAAAAGAAGUGAGUCAAAAAAACCAGAAAUCGGCUCGACCUAUAGUCGGAAACUCGAAGAAAGGAAAGAAACUCACCAUCGACGAUGUUCUCGAUCUCGUGAAAGCCGGAAGUCAGCAUUGCCUCCCUGUCAGUCCAGGAGGAGCGCUCGCUCUCGAACUCGGCCAGGAGAGCAGCCUCCUUCUUCUCGGCCUCGUCCUGCGCCUUCUUGAGCAGCUCCUUCUGCUCGGCCAGCUGCGCAGCCAGCAGGUCGCGCUCUACGCAAGCUUGCUGCACUCCUCCUCCUUGGCGCGUAAGGCGGUACUGGCCUCGCCCAGCUGCUGCUGAAGAGCGGUGUUGACCUCUGAAGAAGAAACAAGACGAAAGAAGAUAAGUCAUCAACAAAGAAAGUCGCUGAGAAGAUCCGGCCCGACUGCUCAGCAGUCGGCCCGAAUCUCGGGGACUACAGCCCACGGGUGCGCCAGCGCGCCCCCGCGAGAAAGAAGAAGGACUCACUUCGGCUCUCCGACAAGUCGGCAGUCCGCCUGCCUAAAUCCUCAAUAUUACGGUUAAAGGCGGUAGCGCGGAGGUUGUGAUACUCCUGCAAUAGUCAUUUAAGACAAAGUUAACAUUUGGAACUCGCCAGAGGGAGUUCCGAACUGCCUGCUCAGCAGCCGGCCCAAAACUCGGGGACUACACCCAGUGGGUGCGCUGGCGCGCCCCCACAGAGAAAAACAAGAAUCAAAAAGAAGAAGGAAACAUACUCGGACGGUCGUCCGUGCUGCUAGAUGCACCCUGGUACAAGAUUGAAGGGCGUCGCCUUCAACGCGCAGCUUCGCCUGGACGUCCAGAAGCGCUUGAUUCAGCGGCCCAGUGCCGCCUCCGCGCAACCACCCGAUGGGCGCGACGCUUGUCGCCUCGGUGUCUGGGGUUGCCGAGCUGGCGGCGCCGGUCUCCCGAGGUCGCGGCGCCGAGGUCGCCCUCUCAAGACGGCGGCGCACCGGCGAGGCGACUUGGAGAAGCAGCCUUGCCUCGGACUCGUCUGCGGUAGGCGGCUCCGGCGGACCUGCCGGCUGUUUGCCGUGCGAUCUCCCAGACGGCGGUGGAGGCGACGGUGGCGGCACGAGCGUGUCCGACAUGGAGGCCUCGCCGCUCUCCUUCUCCACGACGGGAGUCUCGGCGCCGGUUUCUCCAGUCUGCCCCGUGAACUCCGGGGGGGGGGGGCGGCGCCGAAGACAGUGGGGUGACAAACUGCGCCGACUGGCGACGCGCGGCCUCCUUGGCUCGCUGCCUGGCUGCGGCGGCAGCCUCGGCCUCCUCCAGCUUUUUCUUGGCGGAGGCCGCCGCCUUCUCGGCCUCCGCUUUCUCCAAACGGGCGGCCUCCUCCUCGUAGCGCUUCUCCCGCGCGUUUCGCUCCAUCGCCUCCUGGAGGUUGGCGGCGGGGUCAAUCCAACGAGUGUUGGCAGACGUCUCCGCCGACCCCAUGACGGAGGGGGCGACGAUCCUCUCAAGGGAAAGGGGAGCCCUGAAGCAAAAAGGGAAUGAAAAAGAGAAACUCGAACGAGAUUCACCGAGGGAAAAUAAGGACAAGGAAACACUUACGCAGAGACUAGCGGCGGCUUCCUCACUUCCCUGUGGAAGCGAUUGGCCCUCGCGGCCGCCUCCUCCCGCCUGGUCGCGGCGGCCGCCCCCUUGAGCUUCUUCGGCUUGCCGCCGAAUGAACUCGGCCCAGGCUGGCGCCUCUUCAAGCCGCCUUGGCCGGCGGAGGAACCCGCGCCCGACGAGCCGACCCUCGGCUGGUGGCGCGGGACGACUUCCCCUUCGGCAUUGUCAUCAGGCCAGUCAGCGAAUGUGGCCGAGGGCCUGAAGCCGCCUACCGCUCCUCCUCCCCCUCCUUCGGCGUCGGCUUCCAUCGCCGCCGCCCCCAAGUCGGGGUCGUCAACGUCGCUCUCCGCUCGGUCGGGGACGAACUCGCGGGGCGGUCUUGUGACGCCGGCUGCGGGCUGCAUGAGGGGGUUCUAGUUCAAGAAAACCAAUAAAAAUCAGAAGUCGGAGUCAGCUACGAAAAAGGCAAAGCAAUAAAGAGAUGCGACUUACCACCGGAGGGGGGUUGGCGCGCGAGUAUGGUUCCUUGCCGAACUGCCAGUCCUCCCCGAACUCGAAUUUCCCGAUGUGGUUCUCCAUGUUUGCCACCUCUGCGCGGGGCAUGUCCUUGGUGCACAUCCGACUCGGAUCCCGGUGGUCACUCAUCUGACUGAUCAGAUGAGUCCGGCCUUGGAGAAGGAGGACUCGGCGCACCACAAAGGCGGCCGGCAAGUCGGCCCCGACGAGGCCCUCCGACUGCGUCAGAACUCGGAGCCGCGCCACGGCGGCGGCUCCGGCGGGAGUCAAUGUCUUGGCUCGAUGAGACCAGCUGGGAAGCCUCCCAGCCGGUGCGCCGGCUUCGUAAGGCGGCAGAUUGACCCAAUCCCCGUCGGGGGCAACACUCUUCACGUAGAAGUAUGACCGUUGCCACAUCUUCACCGAUUUGAUCAACGCAAUGGCGGGGAACGGGUUGUCGGCCGUCGACCGCCGCAACGCGAUGAAGGCACCGCAUUGAGCCGGCACGUCGGCAACGUGCGUGCCGAGCUUGGAAGAGAAGAAUUCUCCCCACAACUCGAUGGUGGGGAGGACGCCAAGGAAGCCUUCGCACAGAGUGGCGAAGGCGGACAGCAGCACCACCGUGCUUGGGGUGAGGUGGUGCGGCUGGAUCCCGUGAAACUCCAGGAAGGCGCGGAAGAAACCGCUCGCCGGCAGCUCCAGGCCGCGUAUGAGGUGCGAGCGGAAGAUGACCCGCUCGCCCUCCUCCGGCGCCGGCCGAAUCUCCCCCUCCGGCGCGGCGCGGGCGCGCACGAGGUCUGCGCCGGGGAGCCGGCGCGUCAGGCGGAGGAACUCGAUAUGCUCAUCUUCCACCUCCGAGCCGUCCCACACGCCGGAGCGCACGGCGGGGGCCGCGGCGGCGGAGCAAGAGCUCAUCACCGUCGAUGUGGUGUGUUCUUGCUCAACGGCAGCGAAGGGAAGGAAAGGAGGCAAGAGGAGGCGGAGGGAGCGGGGAAGAUGGGCGCGCGUGCUCUGCCGCCCCGCUCCCCCCGCCUACUUAUAGCCUUGUGGGCUGAGAAGCCGAAGGGGGCGGGUGUGGGAUUAACUGUGCACAGGACCCCACGCCCCCCACGAUUUACCCCACGAAGUUACUGCGCGCGGUAACGACGUGGGAGAACCAACCGACCGCACGGCUGCAACGAAUCCGUUCGAAUGCCGAGGCGCGGUAGUGGCGGGCCCCGCCUGACGGCCCGGCCCGUCGCGCGCGUGAGAAGGCAGACUACCCCCGCCGCGUGGCGCCACACAAUAGGACCGCACUGAUGACCACGGGGAAGCGUAUCAGGUACGCCGCCUGGUCUCCCGCCACGACUUUCGAGCUCUUUACGAGGCGGGGCGGCCCUCCGCAAGUCCGACUUUGGAUAGUCAGCCCGAAGGAAGACGGCAGCCGAAGCCCAGAAUCCACUCCCGGAAGAUUGAAACUGUUGAAGCCCCAAGACGCAGUGUCCGCGAAGCUUCACCAGCUUCGGGGACUAAUGUCGGAGUAAUGGGCCACGGGUAGGCCAACCCGAGGCCUAGGACCUUUCAAGACAUCGGGGCAGGCCGCGCCCCUCAUGCCGAGUCCCUGGGACGACUCCAAGAUAUGACGAGUCCCAGGGACGACUCCAAGUUAUGCCGAGUCCCAGGCGGCGACUCCGCGACAAGUCGAGUCCCAGAUGGCGACUCCAAGACAAGCCGACUCCUGGCCGGCAACCUCCAGAGAGGCCGGCUAUGGAGAGUCGGCCCACGACUCCACCUACGUCUCGAAGGACGAGGCGGGGUACGGCCACGGCAUGGCCGUCCCCCCCCCCCCCUUUGCUUACGACGAGCCGUACCGCUGGAGAUCUCCGGCGAGGCACGACACUGUGGCCAUGCCUGCCCUGACCUCAGCCACAGUAGGCGGCGCACUGUGCCCACGACGCCGGCCUGUACGACCCAAGGGCGGCGGGGCCGCCCGUUAGUGGGUAGACCGAAGACGGCAUGAGUGCCCUGAAGACGGACCGGAGGGAGUCGGCCCCCUGGAGUCGGCCGACCCCUCCCCUAGGCCCCGCACGCCAUUAACCAGAUAAGAUGGGGAGUGGCGACAGUGAACGCACGCCAGGCGGCGGCGCUGUAGCCAUGACCUCAUGACCAAGCCAGCGUCAUCAGAAGUACCGCUACAGUCUCAGGCUUGUCCGCGUGGCCCGCCAGUCGGCGGGCCCCAGUAGUCGGAAGGAAGGACGACGGCCUGAGAGACAGACGGUUGGGACCCGUUCCUAGCCGGAUUACUAUUGUACCCCUGGGGGGUAGGCCUAUAUAAACCCCCCGGGAAGCCCAUGCAAAGGGUUCGGACCCAGAUAGGAAUAGACCUUAUAUCACAAGAAGGAGAAGCUAGCCUAGCCUUCUCCUACCUCCAGAAACAGCUCCAGGAGCACCAUUGUAACCACUUUGCCACAGUGACCAUGCGGAGACUCCGCAGAGCAGCAGUAGGGGUGUUAUCUCCUCGGAGAGCCCUGAAGCUGGGUAAGUUCCGCCGGCGUGCAUGUCUUCGCCUCAUCCCGCUUCCGGGCACUGGCGACGUUCUACUCGCUCCCACCAUGAUAAGUCAUCCUUUGGCAUAUGUCGUACCCAACCCCCGACACUAGCGAGUGAGCCAGCCUGGCCCGCAGGCCACAGUGGACAGACGCGGGCGCUAUGAAGGUUAGUUGGCGCUAAAAGCGAUGCUUAGGUUGUCGGGACCUCCUAUGCGCCGCAUUCUGCGGCGACUAUAGAGCGCUACGCACACAGGAGCCGUGUGGCUGGGCCGGCCCAUUAAGACACACAGCCAGUAGUUAACAGCAGUAAAAAUCGAAAAAUAAAAAGAGAUGCCGCAAGGAUUCGAGCACGGGACGUCGCACUGCUUACAACUAGACUAAAUGGCCACAUGUGAACAAAAACGCAUCGCAAACAUAUUUAGCAUGAUACCUUUGCGGGAUAUUCCCAGUUGGAUGUUAUUUUCUGUACAUGUAAAGUAGCAUAUAUAUUUUUGGAAAUUUGAUCACAUUUCAAAAACACACGAAAGAAUUUUUGAAGAAAUGUAAAAAAAAAACUGAAAUUCCAAAAUAGUCUUAGAAAAACGAGAAAUUUUUUGGAAUUUCAAAUAGAUUUUGACAAAAAUAGUAAAAUGAGAAAAACAUUUGUGAAGGUGUUAUUUUUACUUUGGAACAAUUUUUCAAGAUAUUAGAGGACAUUUUUAAAUUUUUAUAUUUUAACAAAAAAGGAAUUAAUUUUGAAACCACGAACUUAUUUCAAAAGAAUUAACAAAAUUUGACGUUCCAAUCAUUUUAAGUCAAAAGACGGAAUGUUCUACGAAACACCAAGUCUUUCCAAAUUUCUGAAAAAAAAUUAAAACUGUUUUUUCAAAAAACAGGAACCUUUUUUGAAAAUCAUGAAGAUUUCUUGGAACGGGAACAUUUUUCCAAAUUCCAAAACAAAAUUUGGAGACGCGAACAUUGAAAUUGAAAUUCCUAAGCAAAAUUUGAAACCACAAACAUUUUUUGAAACUUGGAAAUAAUUUAUGAAUGUGGGACAUGUUUUGAAACUCCACAAAACAUGAAAAUGCGAACAUUUUUUUAAACACAAAUUUUUUUCUGAAAUUGUGAGCAAUGUUUGGAAAUGAGAACAUAUUUUGAAAUUCCUGUACAUUUUCUGAAACAUAAAUUUUGUAUGAAUGUCAAUCUGAAGAGAUUUUUUAUAAAGAGAACAUUUUUCAAAACAUGAACAUAACAAAUAUUUGAAAACGAGAACAUUUUUUGGAAUUACUGAACAUUUUUUAAAAAACACGAACAUUUUUUGAAAUUGUGAACAGAUGUUAAAACAAGUACACUUUUUGAAAACGGGAACAUUUUAUAAAAUUCCUGAACAUUUUUUGAAAACAUUAACAUAAGAAAAUAUUUGAAAACAAGAACAUUUUUUUGAAUUGAAUGAACAUUUUCUAAAACGUGAAGAUUUUUUGAAAUUGUGAACAAAAUUUAAAACAAGAACAUUUUUUGAGAUUCUUGAAAGAAUUUUUGAAACACAGACAUUUUUUAAAAUUGUGAACAAAAUUUGAAAAAGAAAACAUUUUGUGAAGGUGAGAUUUUUUUUUGGAAACAAGAACAUGUUAUAAAAUUCUGAACAGAUAUUGGAUAUUCUCAAACAAAAGAAAAUGAAAAAAAUGAAAGUGCAAAAAAAAGACAAGAAAACAGAAAAAUAAAAUAAAAAUUAUAUACGAAAAAGAAAAAUAAAUAGUAAAAGAAAAGAAACAAAAAGGGGAAAUAGAUAAAACGGUUCAGGAACCUCCUAGAAGGUUGCCAAAACCAUAAAAAACCGGCUGGGAACCACCUAGAAGAUUCCCAAAACCGGAUUCGCACAAAUGUUUGAACGGGCUGGCCUAACAAGAACGCUGGUCGAUCUCCCCCUGUCCGUCCGGUGUACUUCUUGCCGCAUCGAGCGGCAAAUAGGAAUUCGAGUGCUCCUCUUCGGCGCCCUCUGCGCCCCGUAAGGUAGCUGGCGCCUGAAGGAGCUCGGUAGUGGGCCGGCCCAGCAUCCCUCGCAGCAAAAUGCUCAAAAAACAAACUGGCAGAAAAUAUGUCACACACGGGAUUCGAACCCACAUAAGAUUGCUGACAGACUUCACACCUCAACCACUGCAUCAGGAUAACGCAGUUGUUUUAUAUGCGAAAACAGUCUAAUUUGACCCGUAUCCAGCCCCAGUAUAUAUUGUUUGGAAAAAGCGAACGCAAAUUUGAAAAAGUUCACGGAUUUGAAAAAAGUUCACCAGAAUUCGAAAGAAGUUCAUCGAUGAUUAUAAAAAAAGUUCAUGGAUUAAAAAAAAAUUAAUCGUAUUUGAGACAAAAAGUUCACUAGAUUUCGAAAAAAGUUCAUUGAUGUUUAUAAAAAAAGUUCAUGGAUUUCAAAAAAUUUAAUCGGAUUUGAGACCAAAAGUUCACGAAUUUGAAUAAAGUUCAAAUGAUUUCGAAAAAAAGUUCAAUUAUUUUAAAAAAGCUCAUCACUUUUGAUAAAAAAGUUCACCAAUUUGAAAAAAUAAGUUCAUCAAAGUUUAGAAAAAAGUCAAUCGAGUUUGAAAAAAGUUCAUCAAAUUUGAGAAAAGUUCAUCAUAAUUCGAAAAAGUUCACCGGAUCUGGAAAAUAGUCCAUCGAUUUUAUUGGAAAAAGUUCAUCGAAUUCGAAAAAAGUUCAUCAAAUUCAAAAAAAAAUCAUCAAAUUAUAAAAAGUUCAUUGACUUAAAAAUGAGUUCAUCAAAUUUGAAAAAAGUUCAUCGCUUUUGCAAAAAAGUUCACCUAAUUAGAAAAAAGUUCAUCCAAUUUGACGAAAAGUUUAGUACAUUUGAAAAAAGUUCAUCGAAUUUGGAUAAAAGUUCAUCGAACUUGAAAAAUAGUUCAUCAAAUUUUGGAAAAAGUCCAUCAAAGUUGAAUUUUUUUCAUGAAAUCCGGUGAACAUUACGAAUUAGAAAAAGGAAAAAAAGAAAAAGAAAAAAGAAAAAGAAAAGAAGAAAGAAAAAGUAAAUAAGAAAGAAAAAUAAAAGAAGGAACGAAGGAGGUAAGAAAACAUACUUGAUCACAAAACGUUGAGUGGCAGGGUGGUUAUCACGUGGCACGCUGAAUCAGUACAGUGCGUGGACGAGUCCUCCCAGCUACGUCUUCUUUUUUGCAUCCUUUUAGAAAGAAAGAAGGGAAUUAGAAAGAAAGAAGGGAAUUUGGGCCGGCCCGCGUCGUAAGGGAGGAGGGUGUGCGCCCUGUACGAUUAACAGUGUAUUCGGCGGUGAGGGCGCCGAAUAGGUCUUGCUAUAGCGAUGUAUAUAUCUCAUGAAAUAGGACCCCAUGCGAACGGUGAUGGGCUGGCCUAUUGGGCAGUUUCUAAAUGUAUGAGUGGAUUUCGUCGUCUUUCUUCAAGUCUCUGCUGGUUUUAAUUUGUUGAUGUGUGUAUUUUCUCCUUCCUUUUUUUCUUUACCUUUCUUAUUUCCGUUUUCAUGGUUCUUUCUUAUGUUCACUCUUUUUAUUUAUUUAUACUUUUUAUACUCCCUCCAUCCAUAUAUAUAUGGCCUAAUACAUUUUUCGAGGUUGGCUUUAACUGUUCAUAAGAUUAAUAAUGUAUGAGAUGUAUAAUAUGAAAAUAUAUCAUUAGAAGCUCCUUUGACAGUGUGCUUUUUGUAACUUGCAUGUCAUACAUUAUUCCUCUAACAUGUAUUCAAAGUUAGCCGCAAAAAACACAUUACACCAUAUAUAUAUGGAUGGAGGCAGUUUUAUUUCUCUAAACAUGAACAUUCCUGAGUAAACUUGUUCAAAAAUUGAAGCCGCCAAACCUACAGUUCAUAAGUUUGAUGGCUGGAAGGAGAUGAUAGGGGAUAUUAAGAGCAUCUCCAACCAACCCCCACCACUGCCCCCCCCCCCCAAUCCGUCUAGGCGGCCAGUCCGGGCAGUGCCCGAUCCGAAAAACCACACCCAAUCGGACCGUCAAACCGAGCCCAAAUGUUCGAGCUGUCCGACACCCCACAAACGCAGCCCAUACACGGGGCGGAUUUGGUGCAGUUCGGGCAUGCCCGGAUCCGUCCGGCACGUUGGACCGACCAAGGAUGGCCCACAUAAACCCCACAUCAUCCCUACCCAGAGCAAACCCUAGCCCUCAAUCUAAACUGCUAUGCUCCCUUCCAGUGCAGUCCCAUCUCCUUCGCUCCAGUCAUGUCUAGUUCCCGCUGUCUCGCACCACCAUGGAUGGCUCUGACAGUGGAUCAUGAUCUGAACCCGACCCCAUUGAUUGGGAUGCUCUCGCGGCAGAGGUUCGAGCUUUGCACCAUCGGAUAAGGAGCUUUACCUUUGUAUUGCCCUCCGCCCCUGAUGACCCUUGUGCAACUUCGGUGUCUCACUGCAAGCCCACACUCCUGGGCGGCGCUGGGUGCUUGUGCCCUGUCCUCCAAGCCCGUGGAGGCUCCCAGAGUUCGAGGAGUGGGCUGCUCAGAGCGCCAGGCAAAAGGCCGGGGACAACAAGCCGCCGCCAAUGCUUGUCACCUCACCGAAGAGUAGGCCUACAUCGCCCGUCGCCUCGCCUAGUUCACUUGCUCCUUCUCUUCCUCNNNNNNNNNNNNNNNNNNNNNNNNNNNNNNNNNNNNNNNNNNNNNNNNNNNNNNNNNNNNNNNNNNNNNNNNNNNNNNNNNNNNNNNNNNNNNNNNNNNNNNNNNNNNNNNNNNNNNNNNNNNNNNNNNNNNNNNNNNACCCCUACGAGAUCUUCGCCAUGGUCUACCACCGACCGGAGACGACAUGGGGAAGGGCAAGGUAAAGUAGUGAAUCGUCUCCUUUCCUAGUAAAAUUUGUAGUAGAUGAAUCUAGUGAUGAACUAUGUGAUGAAAUUGUCGUCCCUUUUGGUUGUCCGACGCAUUGUAUGACAAACUCCUCUAAAUUUGUGUAUGAUUUCUGUUUGUACGUCACUAGUAGAAAAGGGGGUAUUGGUCCAGGCCGGGUCAGUCCAUUAGUCUCGGUUCAAUCCAGAACCGGGACCAAUGGGGGCAUUGGACCCAGUUCGUGAGCUCCGGGGGCCGGCCGGGCCACGUGGGCCAUUGGUCCCGGUUCGUCUGGACCUUUUGGUCCCGGUUGGUGGGACGAACCGGGACCAAUGUGCCUUAGUCCUGGCCCACCACCAUUGGUCCCGGUUGGUUGCCUGAACUGGGACCAAAGGCUUCCCUUUAGUCCCGGUUCAAGCCACGAACCGGGACCAAUUAAUUGCCUAUAUAUACGCCUGCAAGCAGAGCACUCUCAGUGCUCUGUUUUUCGUGGCCGGCGAGGAGAGAGCUUUGUGGUGCUCUAGCUCACCUCCUAUGCACACGAGGUGUUCGAUGGAAUGCCCGAGCCACACUACUUAACUUUCUCCUCUCCAAGCUCGGUCUCCAAGCUCCAUUUUCCUCAAUAUUUGUCUAGGUUUAGCGGUCCGUCACGUCCUGUCCCCGUCUUCACCGCCGUCGAUCGCCCGCGCCGAUCUCGUCGCCGGCACCACCGUGGUGAGCCUCUUGUUCUUAUCUUCUUUCUGAAAGGAAAAAAAUCUUACUUGUAUGUUUAUAUAUAUAGAUACUUGUAUAAUUUUCUUACUUUUAUUAUUGCAUCUUAUAUAGUGCGAUGGUUUUGGUAUCCGCCCCCGUCGGCCCUCGUCCUGUCUAUGAUUUGGAUGUGGUAUAUAUUAUCUUUUCAUAACUAUUGGUUCAUCUAUUGUUUAUGACAAUUAUGCCGACCAACGUGACAUAGAUUUUAUUUAUCUAGGAGGUUGUUGAACCGGAAAUUCCAACCGACCCUAUUGUCGAGAGGUUAAAUUUAGUUCAAGAAGAAAACAGUUUCUUGAAGGAAAAAAAUAGAAAAAUUGAGGAGGAGGAGGAGAAGAUAUUGGAGUUGCAUGUUGCGGAUGUCGUGGAUGAUCACAUGAUCAAGAUGGAUGCAAUGCGCUUGAAGAUUAGAAAGAUUAGAAAAUAUGCCAUUCAUACCGAGGCUUGGUAUCAUUAUGCCGUUGGAUCAGUUGUUAUAUUGGUUGCGAUUAUGAUCGCAUUUGUUUUCGCAUUGAAAUGUUUUACAUAGUUUCAAUGUAUGGUUUAAUUAAUUUAGAUGCUCUGCAGAGCUUUAUGUUGUUAGAUGAGAACUAUGUAUGUACUUUGGUUUUAAUGUGAUGAUGAACUUCUAUUAAUUUGGUCACUUAAUUAUCUAUUCAUGAUGUUCUGUAAUGAUUUUUGACACACUUAAUUAUAUAUAAUGCACGCAGAUGAACUGGCAAUGGAUGUACGGUUCAAGACACACCUCCGAGUACAUUAAGGGCGUGCAUGAAUUUCUCGAAGUGGCUGAGGCAAACAAGCAGAAUGGUUUUAUGUGUUGUCCAUGCCCUAUAUGUGGGAAUACGAAGUCUUACUCUGACCGGAAAAUCCUUCACACCCACCUGCUUUACAAGGGUUUCAUGCCACACUAUAAUGUUUGGACGAGGCACGGAGAAAUAGGGGUUAUGAUGGAAGACGGCGAAGAAGAAAAGUACGAUGACAACUAUGUGCCCCCUGAAUACGGUGAUGCUACUGAAGAUCAAGAGGAACUAGACGAUGUGCACGAUGAUGCUGCAACAGGCGAAGCUGCUGAAGAUCAAGAAGAACCAGACGAUGUGCCCGAUGAUGAUGAUCUCCGCCGGGUCAUUGUCGAUGCAAGGACGCAAUGCGAAAGUCAAAAGGAGAAGGUGAAGUUCGAUCGCAUGUUAGAGGACCACAAAAAAGGGUUGUACCACAAUUGCGAAGAUGGCAACACAAAGCUCGGUACCAUACUGGAAUUGUUGCAGUGGAAGGCAGAGAAUGAUGUGCCUGACAAAGGAUUUGAGAAGCUACUGAAAAUAUUGAAGAAGAAGCUUCCAAAGGAUAACGAAUUGCCCGACAGUACAUACGCAGCAAAGAAGAUCGUAUGCCCUCUAGGAUUGGAGGUGCAGAAGAUACAUGCAUGCCCUAAUGACUGCAUCCUCUACCGCGGUGCGUACAAGGAUCUGAAUGCAUGCCCGGUAUGCGGUGCAUUACGGUAUAAGAUCAGACGAGAUGACCCUGGUGAUGUUGACGGCGAGCCCCCCAGGAAGAGGGUUCCUGCGAAGGUGAUGUGGUAUGCUCCUAUAAUACCACGGUUGAAAUGUCUGUUCAGAAACGAAGAGCAUGCCAAGUUGAUGCGAUGGCACAGUGAGGACCGUAAGAAAGACGGGAAGUUGAGAGCACCCGCUGACGGGUCGCAGUGGAGAAAAAACGAGAGAAAGUACUGGGAUGAGUUUGCAAGUGACCCAAGGAACCUAUGGUUUGCUUUAAGUGCGGAUGGCAUUAAUCCUUUCGGGGAGCAGAGCAGCAAUCACAUCACCUAGCCCGUGACUCUAUGUAUGUAUAACCUUCCUCCUUGGAUGUGCAUGAAGCGGAAGUUCAUUAUGAUGCCAGUUCUCAUCCAAGGCCCUAAGCAACCCGGCAACGACAUUGAUGUGUACCUAAGGCCAUUAGUUGAAGAACUUUUACAGCUGUGGAAUAGAAACGGUGUACGUACGUGGGAUGAGCACAAACAGGAGGAAUUUCACCUAAAGGCGUUGCUGUUCGUGACCAUCAACGAUUGGUCCGCUGUCAGUAACCUUUCAGGACAGACAAACAAGGGAUACCACACAUGCAUGCACUGUUUACUUGACACCGAUAGUAUAUAAAAAAGUUUUUAUAAUUUUAAAAUAAAAUAAAAUAAAUAAAGCAACAAAGAAAACAAAGAAAACAAAAAAAGUGUUUUCAAAUUCGAAAACUAAUGGCACUAACAGAAAGUUUAUAAUUUUUUUAAAACUAAAAGCAAAAAGAAUUAAAAAAUAAAGCAAAAAACAAAAAAAAUAAAUGAUGCAGAAAACAAAACAAANNNNNNNNNNNNNNNNNNNNNNNNNNNNNNNNNNNNNNNNNNNNNNNNNNNNNNNNNNNNNNNNNNNNNNNNNNNNNNNNNNNNNNNNNNNNNNNNNNNNNNNNNNNNNNNNNNNNNNNNNNNNNNNNNNNNNNNNNNNNNNNNNNNNNNNNNNNNNNNNNNNNNNNNNNNNNNNNNNNNNNNNNNNNNNNNNNNNNNNNNNNNNNNNNNNNNNNNNNNNNNNNNNNNNNNNNNUUUCAAAUUUGAAAACUAAUGGCACUAACAGAAAGUUUAUAAUUUUUCUAAAACUAAAAGCAAAAAGAAUUAAAAAAUAAAUCAAAAAACAAAAGAAAAUAAAUGAUGCAGAAAACAAAACAAAAAAACUGGAAAAUAAUUAAAAAUAGCAACAAAAAGUAUUUUGUUCAAAGUAGAAACAAAAUAAAAUAAAUAAAGCAAGAAAGAACACAAAAAAAACAAAAAAAAUGCCUCCUACUGGGCCCCCACGGUCUGAAUACGACUAGAAACCCUACCAUGGGCCAGGAUUCAGGCCCGCAGUAGGCCUAGAAGGCCCAUCAGGCAAAGCAGUAGCAAAUAGGCCUGCAAGCCUACGGUGGAGAGGAGCUCGAGAAGGGUGCGGCAGUGGGGCUUAUAAACCACUGCGCACCCCUCUCAACUAGUGAGGUAGGACUAAACUUUGGCCCCGACGCGGGCAGCACAGGGACCUUUGGUCCCGGUUGGUGGAACCAACCGGGACUAAAGGGGGGGCAUUAGUCCCGGUGGGUGCCACCAACCGGGACCAAAGGCCGCAGCCUUUGGUCCCNNNNNNNNNNNNNNNNNNNNNNNNNNNNNNNNNNNNNNNNNNNNNNNNNNNNNNNNNNNNNNNNNNNNNNNNNNNNNNNNNNNNNNNNNNNNNNNNNNNNNNNNNNNNNNNNNNNNNNNNNNNNNNNNNNNNNNNNNNNNNNNNNNNNNNNNNNNNNNNNNNNNNNNNNNNNNNNNNNNNNNNNNNNNNNNNNNNNNNNNNNNNNNNNNNNNNNNNNNNNNNNNNNNNNNNNNNNNNNNNNNNNNNNNNNNNNNNNNNNNNNNNNNNNNNNNNNNNNNNNNNNNNNNNNNNNNNNNNNNNNNNNNNNNNNNNNNNNNNNNNNNNNNNNNNNNNNNNNNNNNNNNNNNNNNNNNNNNNNNNNNNNNNNNNNNNNNNNNNNNNNNNNNNNNNNNNNNNNNNNNNNNNNNNNNNNNNNNNNNNNNNNNNNNNNNNNNNNNNNNNNNNNNNNNNNNNNNNNNNNNNNNNNNNNNNNNNNNNNNNNNNNNNNNNNNNNNNNNNNNNNNNNNNNNNNNNNNNNNNNNNNNNNNNNNNNNNNNNNNNNNNNNNNNNNNNNNNNNNNNNNNNNNNNNNNNNNNNNNNNNNNNNNNNNNNNNNNNNNNNNNNNNNNNCCCGUCGUCGCCGUCACCGUCACCGUCGUCGCCGGCCACGCCCCUGCCCCGGCCCGCCGUGGUCGUCGCCGUCGCCCUCGCCGGCCACGCCCCUACCCCGGCCCACCAUGGUCGUCGCCGACGCCCUCGCCGCCGCCGCCGUCGCCCUCGCCGGCCGCCCCCGUUGUGAGCCGCCGCUGUCGAGGCUCUGUGUUCAGUUCUUUUUUUUCAUACAUACAUGUGUAUUUUUUUGUUCAUUGCAUUUUUUUUCAUAUAUAUAAUUAAUGUAUAUAUGUAUGUGGUAGCUAUAUGAUGAAUGGACGUGGCUAUGUAUGUAUGAAUAUAAUGUUCAUAGCAUUUUUUUGUUUAUAUAUGUUUUUUCAUAUAUGUAUUAAUUUUUUAUUUAGGUUGUUAGUAGAUAUCGAUUUUAGGUUAGUGCAUUUUAAUUAGGUUAGUGUAGAGUAAAAAGUAAAAUAGGGAAAAGGAAGAAAAGAGGAAGAAGGAAGAAGGAAGAAGAAGAAGAAAAAGAAUGAGAGGAAAAAGGAAAAUAAGAAGAGGAAGAAAAGGAGAAGAAGAGGAGAGGAAAAUAAGAGGAGAAAUAAAUAAGAAGAAGAAAAAAGAAGAAAAAGAAGAGGAGAAGAAGAAAGGAAUAGAGGAGAAGAAGAAAAAAUAGAAAAAAAAACUAUUUUUUCUUCUUGUCCUCUAUUCCUUUCUUCUUCUUCUUCCUUCUUCCUUCUUCCUCUUUUCUUCCUUUUCCUUAAUUAUUUUCCUUUCUCGAGGGAGAAGAAGAAAAAGAAGAGGAGAAGAAUAAAGAAAGGAAUAGAGGAGAAAUAAAUAAGAAGAACAAAAAAGAAGAAAAGGAAGAGGAGAAGAGGUAAGGAAUAGAGGAGAAAAAGAAAAAAUAGAAAAUUCUAUUUUUUCUUCUUCUCCUCUAUUCCUUUCCUCUUCUCCUCUUUUUAUUUUCUUCUUUUUUUUUUCUUCGAUCUUCUCCUCUAUUCCUUUCUUCUUCUCCUCUUUUUAUUUCUUCUUCGUUUUCUUAUGUUUUAUCGGGUCUGUCGCCUUCGCCCUCACCGCCCCCUCGAGAUAUCUUCGACAUGAGGGGCGGUCGAUAUAUAUAACCCCUCUCGACCGUGAUAACCCUAUACAACGGCAGCACCCCCCUCGGCUCUCUCGCUCGACCAAAACUCUCGAGGCCACCCAAAUUUACCAAGUUAAAAGAGCGUUGUCGUCGAGGCCACCCCAAACCCUUGAAGCGUUGUGUCGAGGCGAUCCCAAACCCUAGAGAAGCAGCGUCGAGGCCACUAACAUGAUUCCUUAUUGUGAUUAGCUAGCUAGUUCUACGUUUGCCACUAAUAUAUAUCCAUCUGUACCAUGUUUGAAUAAUAAUUGACAUGUUGUAAAUAUUUGCAGAAACUAUGGAGCACUACCGAGACGAAGCAACAGAAGCGAUGUUGGGGGAGAUAAUCGCAGAAGGAACUGAUGUCAUUGCGUCAUUUUUCAAUGACGUCGUUGGUCAGGAAGGACUGGGUGAAGAAGAGGGCCAUGUUCAUAAUGGCUCCAUCCCAUUAAUGCCGGUACAAGAAGAGGGCUAUAAUGUUCAUGAUGGCUCCGGUGAUGACCCAAUGGAGGUACAAGAAGGAGACCGUGCUGACUGCUCCGGUGACCGAACCGAGUCCGGCCAGGUGNNNNNNNNNNNNNNNNNNNNNNNNNNNNNNNNNNNNNNNNNNNNNNNNNNNNNNNNNNNNNNNNNNNNNNNNNNNNNNNNNNNNNNNNNNNNNNNNNNNNNNNNNNNNNNNNNNNNNNNNNNNNNNNNNNNNNNNNNNNNNNNNNNNNNNNNNNNNNNNNNNNNNNNNNNNNNNNNNNNNNNNNNNNNNNNNNNNNNNNNNNNNNNNNNNNNNNNNNNNNNNNNNNNNNNNNNNNNNNNNNNNNNNNNNNNNNNNNNNNNNNNNNNNNNNNNNNNNNNNNNNNNNNNNNNNNNNNNNNNNNNNNNNNNNNNNNNNNNNNNNNNNNNNNNNNNNNNNNNNNNNNNNNNNNNNNNNNNNNNNNNNNNNNNNNNNNNNNNNNNNNNNNNNNNNNNNNNNNNNNNNNNNNNNNNNNNNNNNNNNNNNNNNNNNNNNNNNNNNNNCGCGCUGACUAGUUAAUUGAUGCAUUCAUUGUUUUGGUAUAUGUACACAUAUUAAUUACUCUCGUCUUUCUUCCUUUUAAUUUCUAGCCCUCCGGAUCGAGCACAACUUCGAUAAGAAGACGAGGCCCGAAGAAAAAGUUGAGCUCGGAUGAAAGGUUUGAGAUCAUAGAAAUCGCGCCCGACGGCGAACCGAUUGAACCCAUCCGGACAAAGAACGCAUUUUCUGCUCAGUGCGGGGUUCUUAUUAGGGACAAGAUCCUGAUCAGCAUCCAGCAAUGGUAUAAGCCUAAGGACAACCCUGAGGUGUCUUAUGUGAAUGAUAUGCAGAAAGAAGAUCUUUGGACUCAGCUGAAGGCAAAUUUCACCCUACCGCCAGAGGAGGAUCCGGAGAAGCCAGUUAAAGAGCAAUUAAUCAAGUCUUGUGCUCUUAAGAAGAUGGCAGCCCUAUUCAGGAGGUGGAGGAAAGAGUUGAACCAUUUUGUCGAAAAAAAGACACCAGAAUUCAUCGGCAAAUAUGAGAAGAUCAAAGAUCACUGGCCCGCAUUUGUGGCCCACAAGACAUCGGAAAAGAGUAAGAAGAUGUCGGCAACGAACAAGGAAAAUGCUGUGAAGAAGAAGCUUCACCAUCGCACCGGGUCAGGUGGCUACCUCAAAGCCCGUCCUAAGUGGUCCAAGGAGGAGAAUGAUCUGCUUGAAAAAGGGAUCGAACCAGAGACAAUGAGAUGGCCAGACCGUUGCCGGACUUGGUUCUUUGGGGCUGGCGGAACCUUGGACCCUGUAUCAGGGAUGUGCCGUUGGACGAACGAGCAACUGGAACUACCAGUCAAGAACCUUCGACACUAUAUCAAUGCAGCGCGGAAAGGGACGUUCGUACCAGACAGGGAGAAGGACGAGCUCACAAUGGCCAUCGGGAAUCCUGAGCACCCUGGACGGACACGAGGCACGCCAGGCUCCAUUCCAUGGAAGGUUGGUUUUCUGGACGCAGGGGGUUACAAAACCCACAAGAGGAGGAAGAAACUGGAGCAGGGCCAACUGCAGGCACUGCACGAAAGGAUAAUGGGGCUAGAGGAACGAGAAGCAGCAGAUCGCAGCAAACGACCUGCCGAAGCUUCCCCCGAAGCUACCCCGCCAUCUUAGCGGAGAAGCAGCGUGGCUUCCACCGAGCUGCUUCAGCCGGAGCAUGUCUUGACGACUCCUGCCAGCUAUCCCGUGGAUGCUAUCACGGAGUCUCAACAUUGCCACAUUAUGGCGCGAUGGAUGAAUUUGGAGGUCAAGGCGGCUGUUGGCUCUGUUUAUCCUGGUGCACCCGGCACAACUUAUCACUGCCAGCCGAUUCCAGAAGGAUAUGCUAAGGUGAUGGUGGAUGAAAUAACGGAGGGAUUUGAGGAUCUCAUGCUUGACCACCCUACCGGUGAAGGGGAGACUAGGCUGGGUUCUGCUCUGAAGACUCCAUGCCUAUGGCGGAAGGAGCUCAUCAACCUUCCGAACUGGACACCUCCGCCUCCUCCUCCUCCUCCUCCUCCGGCGAGUCAGGGCACUCCGCCUCCUCCAUCGCCUCCUCCUCCGAUGAGUGACGAUCAGGGCACGUGUGGCGGCACUCUGCCUGCUUCUCCAGCGCGUGGCGGCACUCCGCCUCCUUCUCCGCCUGCGCCGGCGCUCCCGAGCAGCCAGCAGCCUCCUCCUUCUCCGCCUCGCUAGCAAGGGCGGAAGAGACCCGCCGCCGCCCCGGCUGCUCUGGGGCGUCGUACUCCUUCUCCUCCGCCUCGUAAGCAAGCACAAAAGAAGACAGACGCCGCAGCCGCUCCGUCUGCUCCGGCGUCUAGCAGCACAACCAGAGGCGGGACGCAAUACAAAUACGGUCCACCUCUCAAGCCUCUAGAGAAGUUAUCGUACGAGAGGACCGAGGAGGAAAACGAUACGAUUGUGCGGACCCACGUGAAGGAGUUCUUUGAAGGGGUGAAAGCAAAGAGACAUCCACCUCCAGAGGAGAAGGUAGAUCCGGUGAAAGCAAAGCACAUUAUCGAUGCCCUGAGGAAACCACCAAAGUCUCCGCCGAGAACCAACUAUGAGCGCAUUACUGAACAGACAUAUCUCCAAGCCCAGCGAUCGAGAACUACUGUCAGUGCUAAAAGGUUAAAAGAACGAGCAAAGGGGAAAAAUUGCCCAGCUCGGCGAACAAGCACAGCAAUCGUGGCCCCCGCUCAAUGUGUCUAAUGCUCCGGGGACGAUGGCCGGUUAUGGCAAUCUUGCAGAUUACCUGCCUGGCAAUCAACUUCCUGAUUUCUUGGAGGUGGACGAACACAGAUACGAGUACGAGAAGCCUCUCGUCAAAGAUGAAAAAUCUCUGACAAUAAUGGUGCGAAGAUUCCAUAAUUGGUACAUGGGAACCUGCAGAGAGUCUGGGGGUACGAAUGCUUUGUAUCUGAAUAUUAAAGAGGAGCACGACCUCGUUGCAAAUGAUCUGUUGACUGUUCCAUUUGAUGAGUUCUUCGAGUUCUUCAAUCAAAAGGCCCUCGAUAAACUAAUGGUCUUUUGCUACUGUCUGUAAGUACUAUUUCUGUCAUUAAGUCUCUAUAUAUAGCUCGACUCUUUCAUUUCAUGUAUUUAUAAUUAAUUAUCCUCAAUAUAUUAUGUAGAUUGAAGAUCGUCGAGUGCAAAAAAACAAGAAAUUUAUGAUAUUGGGUUCAUUAACACAAAUAUCAUAGAUAAAUUUCUGGUUAAAAAGGACAUCAAAGAGGCCGAGGACAACUUGCUACGAUCGUUGAUCAAAAAUCAAAACAAAGAUACCAUACUCUUUCCUUACAACGGCAAGUGAGUGUUACUAUCGUGUGCAUAUUCGGUUUCCCUUAUUACUCGAGCAAGGUUAUAGUAAUGUAAUUGAUGAGUUAUGCAUGCGUGCGUAGGUACCAUUAUAUUCUUCUGGAGAUUAAGCUUGAGCGUGGACUAGUAACCGUCUUAGACUCGAGACGGAAAGAUCCCAAAACCUAUGCAGACAUGACUGAAAUACUCAGCAAGUAAGUUCAAUUGAUCAUUAUCGCACCAUAUUGGCAACUUUUUGUUCAUUCCUGAUAUCUCAAGUAAUAAUAAUUAUUUUCUUUGUCUUACAGGGUUUGGAAACAGUUCACCGCAGAAGCUCCGGGACUGCCGAAGGAGCUGCGAUAUACAUACCCGAAAGUAAGUACUACUGGCUAGCUAGUUGCGCGCAUCUCCCGUUGAUUCUAUAGCUAUACUUUCAUCAAUGCCAUUUAUAAUGCUUCAUUAUCAGUUUGAUUGACCUCUAUUUCUCGUAAAGUGCUUGUGGCAGGAAGAAGGGAAUGAUUUCCGUGGAUACUACGUGUGCGAGUUCAUCCACACCGCGACUUUCAAAAACAAGCGGGGCUACUCUAAAAGACAAUAUGAAGUGCGUAAGCAAUAAUAUUCACAAUUUCAUUUUAUUACACCAUCAUUUCUGUUGAGUUUCAUUCAUAUAUAUGUAUUAAUUAACCCCCUUCUUCAAAUUAGACAUGGCAGAUGCGGAAUGAACUCCUAGAACCAGAUCGCAUGAAAGCAAUUCAAGAAGAAUUGGCGGGAUUCUUUCUUGACCACGUCAUCAAUAAAGCUGGAGAAUACCAUGUGCAAAUUGAUUUCAAUUGCUAGGGGUUUGUAAUUAAGAGAUCUUAUACAUAUUGUACAUGUAUGUAGCCAGUAGCGUUGGAUACAUGAUAUACGAAAACUUGUUGUUCGGCCAAUCUCUCGGAGAAGGAGAGGUCGAUCGAUCACUUCUCUCGGUAUGCAUGACGAACUUCUUUACACAAUGGUUCUCUCGAUCACUUAUGUAUAUAUAGUACGUAGCGUCGACCAAGCACGGACAUAAGAGAGGACACUUCUCUCUAUUAAUUAUCUAGCUAACACAAUAUAUGAAACACCUAAAUUAACCCCCCAAAACCCCCAACCCCCCCUUCUUUGAAAAAAAAAACAAAAACCCCAGCCACUGGAAUGCUGACGCGUGGAUGCCUUUUGGUCCCGGUUGGAGCCACCAACCGGGACCAAAGGCCCCCGGACUGGGCUCGGCGCACAGGGCCACGUGGAGGCACAUUGUUCCCGGUUCGUGUUUGAACCGGGACUAAUGGAUGGAGGUAUUAGUAACGACCCAUUAGUCCCGGUUAAUGAACCGGGACUAAAGGCCCUUACGAACUGGGACUAUUAGGUGUUUUUCUACUAGUGCGUGAUCAACGUUGCAUGGAUUUUAGGGUUGAGAAAUGAGGGGACGGCUGUAGACAAGGCCAAAUGAGGGGUGACCCAUGCUGUCAGCAGAGGCGUCUAUAGAUAUACAGGGGGCCAAUUAGCCAACCGUGGUUGGAGAUGCUCUUAGAUCAGUCUAUACCUUUAACAAGGGCGCGACACAUGCAUGUAGACAUUGCUUGAUCAAUCUAGAGAGUGGAGAUCAUGGAUUUUCACCCAAAAUAUGCAAAUUGGCAUUGACACUGCCUAAGAGCAUGCUACUAACCGACGAUGAAUCGAUGACUCACCACCUGGAUCCCAACGUGACUUGUUUCACUAGUAGAAAAGAGGCCAAUGGUCCACGCCGGUCUAGCCCAUUAGUCCCGGUUCAAUCCAGAACCGGGACCAAUGGGGGCAUUGGACCCGGUUCGUGAGCUCCAGGGGCCGGCCGGGCCACGUGAGCCAUUGGUCCCGGUUCGUCUGGACCUAUUGGUCCCGGUUGGUGGGACAAACCGAGACCAAUGGCCCUCGCUCCUGGCCCACCACCAUUGGUCCCGGUUGGUGGCCUGAACCGGGACCAAAGGACGACCAUUAGUCCCGAUCCAUUCCACCAACCGGGACUAAAGGGUUGGUCCUCGUUGCGGCCAAAGUUUAGUCCCACCUCGCCAACCGGAGGGGAAUCAGACCGGUUUAUAAGCCCCUCCCUCUCUGCCUUAUUGAGCUCAUCUGAAAAUGAAAAUAGAUGCCCUUAUAUAGGGAAUUUAAGCUAAAUUCAUACGGAUUUCUCUUGAAAUUUGUUAUGAAUUUAAUUUGAAUUUCCUCUAUGAGCGCAUCUAUGCUCAUUUCUGAGUAGCUUUUUAUAUAGUUUUUUUCUUUUCUACUAUAUUUAUUUUUUUCUUUUUAUUUCCGAGUUGUAAUAAGUCAUUAAAAACAAGAAUCUAUGCUCAUUUUUUAGUAAAGUUAAUCAUAACUAUUUUUUCUUCUAUUUAUUUUUGAAUUAUAAUAAGUCAUUAAAAAUAAGCAUCUAUGCUCAUAUUUUAGUAAAGUUAAUCACAACUAUUUUUUCUUCUUUUUAUUUCUGAGUUGUACUAAGUCAUUAAAAAUAAGCAUCUAUGCUCCUUUUUUAGUACAGUUAAUCACAAUUAUUUUUUGCUUCAAUUCAUCUCUGAGUNNNNNNNNNNNNNNNNNNNNNNNNNNNNNNNNNNNNNNNNNNNNNNNNNNNNNNNNNNNNNNNNNNNNNNNNNNNNNNNNNNNNNNNNNNNNNNNNNNNNNNNNNNNNNNNNNNNNNNNNNNNNNNNNNNNNNNNNNNNNNNNNNNNNNNNNNNNNNNNNNNNNNNNNNNNNNNNNNNNNNNNNNNNNNNNNNNNNNNNNNNNNNNNNNNNNNNNNNNNNNNNNNNNNNNNNNNNNNNNNNNNNNNNNNNNNNNNNNNNNNNNNNNNNNNNNNNNNNNNNNNNNNNNNNNNNNNNNNNNNNNNNNNNNNNNNNNNNNNNNNNNNNNNNNNNNNNNNNNNNNNNNNNNNNNNNNNNNNNNNNNNNNNNNNNNNNNNNNNNNNNNNNNNNNNNNNNNNNNNNNNNNNNNNNNNNNNNNNNNNNNNNNNNNNNNNNNNNNNNNNNNNNNNNNNNNNNNNNNNNNNNNNNNNNNNNNNNNNNNNNNNNNNNNNNNNNNNNNNNNNNNNNNNNNNNNNNNNNNNNNNNNNNNNNNNNNNNNNNNNNNNNNNNNNNNNNNNNNNNNNNNNNNNNNNNNNNNNNNNNNNNNNNNNNNNNNNNNNNNNNNNNNNNNNNNNNNNNNNNNNNNNNNNNNNNNNNNNNNNNNNNNNNNNNNNNNNNNNNNNNNNNNNNNNNNNNNNNNNNNNNNNNNNNNNNNNNNNNNNNNNNNNNNNNNNNNNNNNNNNNNNNNNNNNNNNNNNNNNNNNCAGCUAUUUUUUUUAUUUCUUAGUUGUAAUAAGUCAUUAAAAAUAAGCAUCUAUGCUCAUUUUUUAGUAAAGUUAAUCAUAACUAUUUUUUCUUAUAUUUAUUUUUGAAUUGUAAUAAGUCAUUAAAAUAAGCAUCUAUGCUCAUAUUUUAGUAAAGUUAAUCACAACUAUUUUCUUUUCUUUUUAUUUCUGAGUUGUAAUAAGUCAUUAAAAUAAGCAUCUAUGCUCCCUUUUUAGUACAGAUAAUCACAACUAUUUUUUGCUUCAAUUCAUUUCUGAGUAGUUCUCUAUAUAGUUUUUUUUCUUUUCAGCUAUAUUAAUUUUUUUCUUUUUAUUUCUGAGUUGUAAUAAGUCAUUAAAAAUAAAAAAGAGGCGCAAUGCUUGUUAAUUUGCUUCAAGCCUUUUGGAAUAGUGUCAACUGCACUGCACAUAGCUCUGUGCAGUCUACCGUAUUCCUCAAGGCUUGAAGCUAACCAACGUGCAGGAGCAUUGGGCCUCUUCGUCAUCGUCUCUGCACUCAGGGCUUAUAAACAGCUGCGAGUGCCUCUCGCUUGGCGAGGUGGGACUAAAAAAACAGCUGCAGGAAGAAUCAAAAUAAAAUAAAAAAAGUGUCACCUAAAGGGCUACCACGGCCAGAAUACGACUAGAAACCCAACAAUGGGCCAGGAUUUAGGCCCUCAAUAGGCCCAAUAGGCCCACAGGCACAUAUAGUGCGUUUAGGCCCGUAAGCCUGCAUUUGAGAGGAGCUCGAGAGGGCAGCGGGACUGAGGCUUAUAAACCACUCUCGAGCUCCCUCAGCUAGUGAGGUGGGACUAAACUUUCGUGCCGCGACGCGGGCAGCACAUGGCCUUUAGUCUCGGUUGGUGGCACCAACCGGAACUAAAGGGGUGCAUUGGUCCCGGUUCGUGGCACCAACCGGUACCAAUGCCCCCCCCUUUAGUCCCGGUUGGAGCCACCAACCGGGACUAAAGGCCUUCAUUUCCCGCCCUUUGGGCUACUGAAAAGAGGCCUUUGGUCCCGGUUGGUGGCACCAACCGGGACUNNNNNNNNNNNNNNNNNNNNNNNNNNNNNNNNNNNNNNNNNNNNNNNNNNNNNNNNNNNNNNNNNNNNNNNNNNNNNNNNNNNNNNNNNNNNNNNNNNNNNNNNNNNNNNNNNNNNNNNNNNNNNNNNNNNNNNNNNNNNNNNNNNNNNNNNNNNNNNNNNNNNNNNNNNNNNNNNNNNNNNNNNNNNNNNNNNNNNNNNNNNNNNNNNNNNNNNNNNNNNNNNNNNNNNNNNNNNNNNNNNNNNNNNNNNNNNNNNNNNNNNNNNNNNNNNNNNNNNNNNNNNNNNNNNNNNNNNNNNNNNNNNNNNNNNNNNNNNNNNNNNNNNNNNNNNNNNNNNNNNNNNNNNNNNNNNNNNNNNNNNNNNNNNNNNNNNNNNNNNNNNNNNNNNNNNNNNNNNNNNNNNNNNNNNNNNNNNNNNNNNNNNNNNNNNNNNNNNNNNNNNNNNNNNNNNNNNNNNNNNNNNNNNNNNNNNNNNNNNNNNNNNNNNNNNNNNNNNNNNNNNNNNNNNNNNNNNNNNNNNNNNNNNNNNNNNNNNNNNNNNNNNNNNNNNNNNNNNNNNNNNNNNNNNNNNNNNNNNNNNNNNNNNNNNNNNNNNNNNNNNNNNNNNNNNNNNNNNNNNNNNNNNNNNNNNNNNNNNNNNNNNNNNNNNNNNNNNNNNNNNNNNNNNNNNNNNNNNNNNNNNNNNNNNNNNNNNNNNNNNNNNNNNNNNNNNNNNNNNNNNNNNNNNNNNNNNNNNNNNNNNNNNNNNNNNNNNNNNNNNNNNNNNNNNNNNNNNNNNNNNNNNNNNNNNNNNNNNNNNNNNNNNNNNNNNNNNNNNNNNNNNNNNNNNNNNNNNNNNNNNNNNNNNNNNNNNNNNNNNNNNNNNNNNNNNNNNNNNNNNNNNNNNNNNNNNNNNNNNNNNNNNNNNNNNNNUGAUUUAAUAAACUAAUUUAUUUUACUAUACUAUAUAUAGAAGUAGUUUGUUUUUAGUAAGUACUACUUAUUUAUUUAUAGUAAGUGCUUAGUUGAACUAGAUAGUUGAAUUAAUUAAUAAAACUACUUUUAUUUAACUAUAUAUAAAAGUAGUUGCCGCAUCAACGUCGGCGAUGCCUAUCCCACAUCCUCGUCGUCGUCGACUCGGCGGUGGAGGCCUGCUUGAUCAGGGCCAUGUUCGGGACUGGGCUCCGUCGGGCUGGUAUUGGGAGGUGCUACCUUCCGGGGGACGUAGGUUGGUGAGGAGGCAGCCCGUUGUUGACCCGAUCCUUGUUUGGUGGCGGUCGCGUGGGCCAGUGACGGUGGUGAGGCAUCCGGACACCGCGGAGGUGGUACGUCACCGUGUCAGCGAGGAGGACGAGCACGUCCGUCGCUACAUGGUUGCAUUGGAGGGCAGAUUCGACAAUAUCUGGCAGGUUCUUUAGGGAUCUUACUGGAGCUAUGAUCCUGUGAUGGUUCCUUAUCUUUGGGUGUCCACCGCCCGCGUCGAUACCCGUCGGGCGCUACGGUUCUAGUUGUAUUAGUGAUAAUAUUCGAUGAUGUACGGACACCAAGAGAUGAUGUACUUUUGCUUAUAAUUAUUGAAUGCAUGCUAAUUUGAAUACUAUACUUUAUUUUAUGAUUUGGUUUUGCUUAUUUUAUGAUUUGGUUUUGCUUAUUGAAUGCUCAUAUUGGAUAAGUUCUCCUUCAUUCCCGUGUGCUAGACAAUUUGAUAUAAUAAUGCAUUUGGGAAUGAAAGGAGGAGCUACGUACAUCGAUCAUCGAUAGCCAACCCAUGAUUAAUAAUAAUGAUCUAGUUUAAUAUUUGAAUUAUGAACGUAGGCCGGAAAUGUCGUACUCAUUGGACGAUGAAAACCGCCCGGGGGAGUGCGACUGGUGCCACGACGACCGAGGUAUCUGCGACAGGUUCAUUGUGUUGGACGAAGAUCGUUGCUUCAGCAUUAAGCUCGAGGAGACCUUCGAUGUUCAUACGGUACGCAACCGACGAUAAUAGUUUUUUUUCGUAAUUACUCAUGACUUCAACUAUUUUAAUCAUGACAAUAUUUUUCAUCUUUUCCAAUUCGACUAGCUUAUCCCAUGCUUUGCAAGACGCUAUGUCUUGGAGAGGAUGGGUUUUGAAGACCAUGAAAGUUUCGAAACCAAAAAAAUUAUCCUAAGUACCCAUCAUGGUGUGGAUUUUCAAGUAAAGCUGUACAAUGCUCAGAGUGUAACCCAUUUUGGUUGCAAAAAUUGGGAAGCACUUUGCAAGAUGUAUGGUUUUGAUGAGGGUAUGCUUGUUACCAUGGAUCUUGGUGAUCCUACAAUCGAGCAAGAGAGACCUACGAUUUUCGUCCUUGUGGAUACACCUCCAAUUCUUCCCCCAUGUGAGCUUAGCAUAGUUAUUAAGUAAUUUAUAUUGUUUAUUUCAAAAUAGUUGACAACUUAUUCUCCAUUGACAGCUUAUUUUCAUUCUUCAAAGAAUGUGCAGAAGAUGGUAGACAGAACCUACUACACCGAAGGCUCCGAACUAACUUAUCAGGAGAAAAAUCAUCUGGUCGCAUUUUGUACUGAUCUUGAGAAUUACAAUGUCUACAAUCGAACUCCUCAACAUUAUGGUCAAUACGUGCCACUAGUGCACGUGUUGAACUACCGUAACUACCAUGGAGAUACCCUGGUAAGAUUUUUUACUAUUACAACAUCCGUGCAUCUUUUUGCACACUUCUAAAACUAGUACAUCAUAUCAUUGCUAACUACGAAGUUAUUACUAUGUUUUUCAACAGAUAAUCCUGAAUGAUUGUGUGCCUCAUCUGAUGUAUACACACGGUAGCCUUCAUGUUUUGAACAUACAACCAGGUCGUCCUACGAAUCUCAACUGUCCAUACCGGGUUUCUAAAAGAAGUGGAGACAUGACAAUCAAAGAAUGGAAAAAAUGUAUGGACAGUCGUAAGGAGCUUCUUGGAAGCAACAUUCAGCGAAGGGCAAAAAUUGGAGACAAGAUGAUCGCCAUUCUUCAUAAUGGAGAGUCAGGGUCUAUAUUGUUUUAAGCUAUUUUACCUUAAGGGUGUUUAGGUCCUACCUGAUACUGAUGAUCAUGUGUUAAGAACAAUUAUUUAGGGUUGGGUUCGAUGACUAUGAGGAUGAUGAUCAUAUGACUUAUUAUUAAUAACGAGUAGAAGUUGUAUGAUGAUGCAUGAUUAGUAUAGGAUGAGUACUCGUUAUUAUAUAUGCUGACGUAUGCGAGCAUGCAUGCGUUAUUAUAUCAGCGGGUAAAAUGAACAUAUAUAGCAGCAGCGUUGGUAAACCAAGGAUGAAGAUAUAAGAGAGGACACUUCUCUCUAUUAGCUAGCUAACAUAACAACCCAAAAAUAACCCCCAAAACCCCUAAAGCAGCCACUUUCCAAAAAAAAACAUGGACUUUUGGUCCCGGUUGGUGGAACCAACCGGGACCAAAAGCCCCCUGACUGGGCUGGGCGCACAGAGCCACGUGGAGGCACAUUAGUCCCGGUUCUUGUUUGAACCGGGACUAAUGGGUGGAGGUAUUAGUAACGACCCAUUAGUCCCGGUUCAUGAACCGGGACUAAAGGCCCUCACGAACCGGGACUAUUAGGUGUUUUUCUACUAGUGUUUUCCCUAGUGGCGUGGAUGGGAGCAGAUUAGGGCUUAUUGUCGCGCUAUCACGCCACUCGGCACUGUUCUGAGCAGCUUAGAGCUGGCGCCGCCAUCUCUACCCUGGGCUGCCGCCCGGAUUUUCGGCGUCCUUUGACUGACACUGUGUGGCUUGCCAGGGGGCGCCUUUGGAAGCCACGACCGAGAAGAGAGGAAAGUGAGAGGUGGCGGCUCGCUAGGUUUUCUAGGAAAAGGAGUGACACAGGGAGUAGUUUCAUAGACUUAUCGAGUUUCUGGUGUACGACGGAUUUUUUUUUACGACGAGUUCAAAAAAUAUGAUGAACUCUUCAACUCUGAACCCACCCCCUGAGUUGAUUAUAAUCCUGGUUGGCUCGAUUGUGAUCAUGUCGGACAUAAAGUCUCAUGCAUGUUGCAGUUAAAUACGUGGCAGUGGGAUGAAAAACAUGUCUUGGUCGUUGCUCCUACGGCUCACGGGGCGACCUAUGCCGCCAACCCAACCACCUCCUCCUCCGCUCUCCUCCCUUGCCGCCAGUUGGACGGUCCGCUGUAGCAGCGGAGACUCGCACUACCUCUAUCUUCCCUCCCCUGCUCCUCUGGCGUGCUUCUUCUCCCGCAAUCGGCGAUGCAGCGUGGAUGUUGCCCCAGCAGAAAACUCCCUGUCUCGUUCGAUCGGGGCCUUCCCUGGUGGCAGCGCGACCCAGGCGGACGUGCGGGUGGUGCGGGGUGACUCCGCCGAGUUCUUGGAGGUGCCGCUCCUCACAGGGAUGCGUUUGGGUCGGCAGUCGUGGAUCGGGUUCUCGGCUGCCGCUAGAUGCUGGAUCUGCCAUAUCCCGCGAGCACCUAAUCAGCAUCAGUGGUUUCCUGUAAGACAAUAGGCUUUGGGGGGAACCGGCACAACCCUCUAGGGGUGGCCUAUCACAUAUAUAUAUAAUGAGGUGGUAUAAAACGUUACAAUAUACACAUGUAAAUACAGUCUAACACCCUCCCUCAAUCUUAGCCACUUUCUAAUGAAUCUAGAAGGGUAAGAUUGCGCCUGCAAGUCUCAAACUGUGGCAAAGGCAAUGGCUUGGUGAAGAUGUCAGCAAGUUGAUCCUUGGAAGAAAUAAACUUGAUCUGUAGUUGCUUCUGAGAGACACGUUCACGCACAAAGUGAUAGUCAACUUCAAUGUGUUUCGUUCGGGCAUGGAAUACCGGAUUUGCAGAAAGGUAUGUAGCACCGAUGUUAUCACACCAAAGAACAGGAGGCUGUGAUUGGGGUAUACUUAACUCCUGAAGCAAGGACUGUACCCAGAUGAUCUCUGAUGUGGCAUUGGCCACAGCCUUAUACUCAGCCUCAGUACUGCUACGCGAGACAGUAGCCUGUUUCCGAGCACUUCAGGCAAUCAGAUUAGAGCCAAAGAAGACAGCAUAACCCCCCGUGGAUCGCCUGUCAUCCGGAUUGCCAGCCCAGUCUGCAUCAGAAUAUGCUGAAAGACAACCAGAGCCAGACGGACGAAUAUGCAAACCAUGAGCCACCGUGAAACGAAUAUAGCGUAAAAUCCGCUUAACAGCAGACCAAUGAGUGUCACGGGGUGACUGCAGAUACUGGUAGACUCGGUUAACAGCAUAGGAAAUGUCUGGUCGCGUGAUCGUCAAGUACUGGAGCCCACCAGCAAUACUCCUGUACUCUGUCGCAUCAGAAGAAGAAAGAAGCACACCAUCAACAGCAUUGAGCUUAUCAGUGGUAGACAUGGGUGUAGUCGUCGGUUUGCACUUAAGCAUCCCAGCUCGCUGCAACAAAUCCAGAGAGUACUUCUUCUGCGUUAUAACAAGGCCAGCAGCACGAGAAGUAACCUCCACACCAAGAAAGUAAUGAAGCUUCCCAAGGUCCUUGACCGCAAAAUCAGCACCAAGUGAGCGAACAAGCGCAGUAGCAGCCGACUGAGAGGAGCUGACCAAAAUGAUAUCAUCUACAUAGACCAACAAGUACAUAGUAACCUCAGGCCUUUGAAGAAGAAACAAUGAGGAGUCAGCAGUUGAUGAUGUGCUUCUUUCUUCUUCUGAUGCGACAGAGUACAUGAGUAUUGUUGGUGGGCUCCAGUACUUGACGAUCACGCGACCAGACAUUUCCUAUGCUGUUAACCGAGUCUGCCAGUAUCUGCAGUCACCCCGUGACACUCAUUGGUCUGCUGUUAAGCGGAUUUUAUGCUAUAUUCGUUUCACGGUGGCUCAUGGUUUGCAUAUUCGGCCGUCUGGCUCUGGUUGUCUUUCAGCAUAUUCUGAUGCAGACUGGGCUGGCAAUCCGGAUGACAGGCGAUCCACGGAUAAAAAGAUCAAAAGGAUGAAAUUCACAAAGCACAUUAUUAUCACGAGUGAGUUUAGGAACUGAAAGAAGAUUACGUGUCACAGAUGGAACUCAAAGAACAUUGCGAAGUUGAAGACUCCUAUUGGCAUGUCUAGUGAGAAGUGAUGCUUGACCAAUAUGAGAGAUGUGCAUACCUGCUCCAUUGGCGGUGUGGAUCUUGUCGGAGCCAUGGUAGGGUUCACGAGUGUGAAGCUUCCCCAUCUCACUAGUCAGGUGCUCUGUCGCCCCAGAGUCCAUGUACCAGUGGGGAUCAAUGGAGUAGGACUGAGUGUGUCCCUGUGGCUUCUGCGGCGGCGGACGAUCAGCCAUGGCGACCUGACGAGCAAAGUUGCGUGUAUCCUUCCCGUCAUUGCCGAGACCAAGAAAACCCCGCUGGAAGCGCUUGUGACACUUCGAGGCCCAGUGCCCAUCGCGACCAUAAAGCUGGCACACACGUGGACCGCCAGCCCCUGGUAGCGUCGCAGUAGGAGGAGGGGCCGAGGCGGGUGGUGGUGACUGCCCCGAAGGAGCCCUGGAUGAAGCAGAGGAGCGACCACCCUUGGUGGCGGCGUUUGUCGAGAGGGCGCCGUUGCCCCUGGAUCGGCGCGUCUCGACUCGUUGCUCAGUAAGCAGGAGGCGUGAAAAGACCUCGUGUGCUGGCAUGGGCGUGGAGUUGCCCCUCUCAUUGAUGAUCUCGACUAGGGCGUCAUACUCCUCAUCAAGACCAUUGACAAUAAACGAGUUGAACUCGGAGUCGGUGAGGGGCUGUCCAAUGGAGGCCAGCGUGUCGGCGAGACUCUUGACUUUGUUGUAGAACUCAGUGGCGGUGGAGUCAAGCUUCUGACACUCCCCAAGUUGGCGACGGAGCCCAGAUACACGAGCCUGCGACUGUGCCGCAAACGAGCGCUCAAGAAUAGUCCAUGCCUCAUGGGACGUCUUGGCGAAGACAACAAGCCCAGCAACGGCCGGAGAGAGCGACCCCUGGAUGGAGGAGAGGUUCGCCUGAUCCUGCCCUGUCCAGACACGGUGAGCCGGAUUAUAGACCGGACCGUGCACGCUGUCAACCAGCGCAGGAGGGCAAGGGAGAGAGCCGUCGACAUAGCCAAGCAGAUAGUGACUCCCAAGAAGCGGAAGAACCUGCGCGCGCCAGAAGAUGUAAUUGUCCGACGACAACUUGAUGGUGAUGAGAUGGCCGAAGUGAAACGGCGGCGGCGGCUGCGAUCCCAUUGAGGAGACUGGCUGAGGUGAGACCACCGUGGAGACAGUCAGAGGGGCAGCCGGCGCGGUGACAGAGGGCGCGAUGGCCGCGGUUGACGCCGCGAAGCCUGCCAGCGCGACGUCCUCCGCCACCAGCGGCGCAGUGGCCGAGGGCGCGACAGCCGCGGUUGACGGGGCGGCGGCGGUGUGGGCCACAAGCGCCUGCCCGGGCGAAGUAGCAGCCGGCGGGAGCGCGAAGAGGGAGCCGACGCUCCGUGUCCCGAUCGACGCCUGAAGGGAGGCGGCAUCCAGCGGCCUCGAGAGAAGUGCCGCGAGGGAGGCCGGCAGAAAACCGGUGGCGGUGGAGCCGGACGCAGCGGCGGACGUCAUAGCAGUCGGGCGACGGCGACGGCGGGCGCGGCGGCGGCGGCGGCGGCGGCAGCGGUUUAGGGUUUUUAGGCGGAAGCGGACAUAACCUAGCGUGAUACCAUGUAAGACAAUAGGCUUUGGGGGGAACCGGCACAACCCUCUAGGGGUGGCCUAUCACAUAUAUAUAUAAUGAGGUGGUAUAAAACGUUACAAUAUACACAUGUAAAUACAGUCUAACAUUUCCAUGGGCAUGGCCCUCCCCUAACUGGUUACCCUUGUGGCUGCUCCGCUGGGUGCCCGACUGCCUGCAUGUAUGCUUGUUUUGUCUAUGUUGUUUGGGUGCAAGUUGCAAGCUUGGGGGCGAAGUGGACAAGGAAUUGCGCUAGUGCAGCAGCAGGAGCAGCCGGCUGUGUGCUUGCGGCAGCCCCUGUGGGCAGUUGGUGAGGUUGGAUCUCUACGAUAUUCGGAGCGAUGGAUCCGGAAGGUGGGCACAACGACACCGUUUGGGCGGGUGCCAUUGUACAAGUGCUCGUGUGUUGCCUCAGCCUUUGGGUGGCAAGCUGGCUCACUCGGGAGGCUUCUGUUAUGUGGGUGUGGUCUUAGCUGCCACCUCGCCCGGUUUUGGGUGUUGUCCGCUUCUCUCCUUGUCUAGUCAUGGCUGCUGGACUUGGGUGUUGAGGUUCGUGUCCUGAGCGAAAGCUCUGCCCGACUGUGUCGAUGCCGGUGACGGUGAUAGCGACACUUUUGUGCAUCGUUUCCCUCCUUGAAGGUGUCAUCGUGGGUGGCUUCCCCCAUCAUGGGCUCUAGGUGAAAACCCUUAGUCUGGCAUUUGCCCAACCCGGGUGGUGGCGGCGUUGUGGCAUCAUUCCCUCCUUGGAGGCUUCUUCUCGUGAGCAAGGUCCUAUUUUAUUGGUCGCCAGUGGUGGGUUUCAAGGACGGCAACUUCUUCUCUUCGUGUUGACGGUUCCAUGCUUUGGCGCUGGUGCUCUGAAGAAGAACUAGGUUUGACAAGGUGGUUGUGCUCGAAGGUCUGCCAUUGAGGUCCUGGCGCCAGUUUCCAUCUACACUCUAGGAUAGUGAGCAUUCCCAUCAUCCGAUGGUGAGGCACCCUUUGAGUUAGGGCAAGGGAGUAGGGGAUUCCUUUUGGCGAUGGAACUGGAGGGCGUUGUUGCGCCGGGCGCCCAGGCGAUGGUGAUGACAUGGUUGCCGUUGACGGCUGGCCCCAUUCUCAAAAAUUGGCAUCGUUCGUACCGUCAAUCCUUUAAUCAUGGUUGAGGGUUCCAAUGUCUUGCUGGUUUUGUUGCUGCUUGUGAGCACCAUUGUAUCUUACCGGUGUUUUUCGUUGUUGCGUGUGUUGUAUUGUGUUGCGUCGUUGGUUGUAAGGGUCUGAUCAAUUUAAAGCUAGGCACCUGCCUUUUCUCUAAAAAAUAUAUGUGGGGGUGCGUUAGCCAUGAAUGAAAUAGUUGUUGGUCAUAUACAUGUUUUAGUUUUUUUAUUUGGUGGGAUGUGUGCAAUUGACAGAAUACGUGUGGUGUGGUUGUCCAUGAAUGGAUUAGUUCAUUGUGUACUCGGGACAGGUGUCAGAAAAGAUAACAACAAAUAAUACCACUCUUGUGAAGAGUUGAUCACUGUGAGGUAGCUCUGUAGCGUAUAGAGUUUUCAUUAACAAAACCAUGAAGAAUAUCAGUGCAUCAAGGCUCUCAACCAAAAACGGAAGUUGCGACACAGAAAAGUUCGGUACAAACGGUUUAUUGAUGUUUUCUUUGGCAUGAAUCAGAUCGAUCCAUAGUGCACAUGUCUACUAAUUGGCCCGAUCUUACACGCCUGAACGUCUUGAGCACAAGAAUACUUUCUAUCUGUUACUUGUAUGGCGUUCAAACAUCGCAGCAGCAAAUGCCACCACCAUCCGGUACGCAGUGGGCUUUAUUGUGUCCAAAAAACUUGCAGUGAUUCAGGCACGCCUCUUCGGAUGCAUGAUCUCUGUGGCAGCUUACAAAAUGAAUACAGUAAUCGAUGAUGGGGAUUGGUUUUUUAUCUACACAUGUUGAAGUAUAGCAGUAUAAGCACGUAUGUACCAGCGUGAAUCGGAACGCACGUAUGUAUCAAAUUUGAACUAAAACCACGACGAGUAAAUCUGAACGGAGGGAGUACUAAAAUGAAUAGGAAAAUAGAUAAACAAACGGAUGUACCUGCGUGACAUGAUAAUAGAGUGGUAGACAUCAUCACCAGAGCUACCAAGCAUAGAGCUGUUGCUGUGUUCUUGAUAUGUGCCAUGAGAGAUG
This 78916-nucleotide long non-coding RNA is filed under the name Triticum aestivum (bread wheat). Its description in RNAcentral is "long non-coding RNA (TAES_LNC026654)". Lineage: Eukaryota; Viridiplantae; Streptophyta; Magnoliopsida; Poales; Poaceae. The record is from RNAcentral.